CUCUCUCUCUCUCUCUCUCUCUCUCUCUCUCUCCUCCCACCACCCGGUCUCUCUCUCUCUCUUUCUCUCUCUCUCCUCCCCCCUACCAGUCGCCGCCUGCCUCCCUUCUCUCUUCAAACACCACCGCCCGUCGCCUCCACCGCCACCACCGCCCUCGCGCCCCCCACCACCCGGUCGCACCCGCGUCGCCGAAGGAGGGCGGCGCCGCCGACAAGAAGAAGAGGCGCGCCGUUCAUCUUCUCCUUCAUCCCGCGUCGUCCUUCCACGUCGUCCACGUCCGCCGUCCAUCUUCUCCUUCCUCCAGCGCGCCGCCCUCCUCUAGGGCUCCAAUUUGUGGAGUUGUGGAUUCGAGAGGAGGCCGUGGAUUUGGGAAUAUAGGGCUCCGAUUUGGGGAUUUAAUUUCGAAACUUGUUUAGAAUUAAUUUCGAUCUGAUUUCUGAAAAUUUUGUUUGGUUUCUUCGAUUUGGUUUCUGAAAUCUUCGAUUUGGUUUCUUCGAUUUGGUUUCUGCAAUUUCUUCAAUUUUGGGACGGGUUUCAGGAUGCGGUAGAGAGAUAAAUGAGGCGGUGGGGCGGUGGUUUUCGCCGUUGUUUAGCCGGUCGGACUGUGGAAGGAGAUUAGGGGAGAGAGCCACCGACUGCGGAAGGAGAUUAGGAGGGGAGAGAGAACAGUGGCAACAAUUCAUAAUUAAAAUUAACACUAAAUUAAGUUUGUGGGAUAUACACUUACCUCUUAAUUUUACUCUCCUAAAUACCCGUGCCGAAAAGUUUUGAGCCAUGAUUAACGGGACGGAGGGAGUAAUUGUUUAUGAGUUAUAUUAGUUAAUAACAAAAAAUUUAUACUAAGUUAAAUAUUAAUAUUUAAUUUAAAAUAGUGUAUAGUACUCCCCCUCGUCCACCAAAAAAAGUCAUACUUACCUAUUUUUUUAUCCAUAAAAAAGAGUCUCAUUUAACUUUUUGAACCAUCACAUGAUACAUUUUUCUCUUACCUUUAAUUAUAAAUUGUACUUUUAUUCCAUUUUUUAACUUAAAAUGUACUUUAUUCUACAUUUUUGUACUAAUAUUAUCCCUACAAAUUGUACAUUUAUCUCACUUACACCUACUUUAACAAUUUUCUUAAAACUCGUGCCAACCCCAAAUGAGACUCUUUUCGUGGACGGAGGGAGUAAUAAUUUUAUCAAUUUAAUGAGCAGGGGUAUAAUAUUAUAUUUAAUGAGUAUUGUAUAAUACUCCCUCUCUCCCAUUAAAAGUGGCUUGUAUUCCCCUUUAAGUUGUCCCACUAUAAGUGGCUUGUUCCAUAAAUGACAAAAUUUAACACAUAAAAAAGUGUAGGCUCUACCACUUUACAUCUUCUUCUUAUUUUACGUGCAAUAAAGCAACCAAUCAUUUUUAAUGGGACGGGGGGAGUAAUAAUAAUUAAAUUUACAGAUUCUAAAGUAAAUAAUUUAAAUCUCUCUCAUGUUGAGCAAAUAACAAUAAAACAUCAAUAACAAUAUUAAUAGUGUUAAUAGGUGAAAAUGUCAUAUUCCUUAUGUUGUAUAUGAAAAAUGUCAUACUUUAUAAGCUUAAACAUUUUAUGUCUAAUUAUGUAAAGUACCUAUUUUAUCAUUUGAUGUUGAUGAGUUUGCUUGGUUUUUUGUAAAAGUCUUACACAUUUGAUCGAUUUAUUGACCGAUUUGAUAACUAUCAGUCAUAAAAAUCAACGAUUUGACAGCUAUCAGUCAAGAGUACAUAUGACCGGUGAGUGGCUAGAUCAUGUGUCCGCCCAGGCGGACACAUGAUUUUAUCACCCAGAUUAUGUGUCCGAUCGGUAAAAUCAUGUGUCUGCCCAGUAAAAUUAUGUGUCCGCCCUAGCCAUCCACCGAUCAUACGUACUCUUGACUGAUAGCUGUCACAUCGUUGACUUUUAUGACUAAUAGCUGUCAAAUCGAUCAACAAAUCAAUCAAAUGUGUAAGACUUGCACAAAAAACAAGCAAAAUCCAUCUAAUCAAAGAAUAUUUAAAGAAUAUGGCAUAAAAUGUUUAUAUUUAUAAAAGAUGAUAUUUUUCACAUAUAACUUAAGGAAUAGAGCAUUUUAAAUUUUCACUCAUAUUAAUAGCCGUCAUAUAAUAUACUCCCUCCGUCCCAAUAUUGUUGGCCACAUUUGGUUUCGGCACGGGAAUUAAGGAGUUGUAGAUUAGUAUUUUAAGUGUGUGGGUAAUAUAGUAUAAAAGUAAUAAAGUAGGAGAGAGAAGUAGGAGAGAGAAUGUGAUAAAGUAGGAGAUAAAAUGUAAUAAAGUGAUCAAGUAGGAGAGAUAAUGUGAUAAAGUAAGAGAUUGAAUGUGAUAAAUAUUUCCAUUUUAGGAAAGUGGCCAACAAUAGUGGGACAAACUAAAAAGGAAAUGUGGCCAACAAUAGUGGGACAGAGGGAGUAAUAAUUUUGGACUCUUAAAAAUUCAAAUUGUAUUAUUGUUAAAAGUUCAUAUUCAAAUGGCCCAAAACUAAUUAAUUUUUUUUAAAGUAUGAAUAAUAUAAAAAAGAAAAUAUAACAAGAAAUAUGUUUAUAUAAGCAAAUAAAUAAUUCGUUCAUAUAAUUAAAUAAUCUAUAUUAUAUUUUAAAUUCAAAUUUAAAGAUAUAUAACUAUUUUUUUUUACAAAUUCAUAUUAAAAUUUCUUUCUCCUUAAUUGCAUUGAAAACUACUAUAAUUAAUUAAUAUUUAAAUUUAAAAUAAUUAUAAUUAAACAAUCAUGUAAGCUUUUUUGCAAGGAAAAAAAGGUGUUUACUUAUUUUUUCACCAACAAACUAAAACAAAAUGAAAAAAGAGUAUGUUGUUCAAUAUUAGAGAUAAAUGAGAGAGAACAAAAAUUAGUUUGAUACUUUAAACAAUCAUAACUUAUUUAUUUUAAAAUUAUUUUUUAUAAUUUUUAUAUCGAAUUAAAAAUCUUCUCGUAAUCUUUAAUUUAAUAUCUAUAUUAAAUAUCUUUUCAUGAUUCGAAGUUAACGAUUUUUAAAACAAAUAUAAAAUAGAAAAAAGAAGAAAGAAUAAAGAAAAUUUAGGUAGGAAAAAAAUUAGAGAGUAGAGAUAAAAUUGGGAGGUAAAAAAAACUCAUCUUUUAGAUGUAUAUAUACUUUAUGUCAAAUUUAAUAAAAAAAUAUUAUAAUGAUAUGUUUCUAUUUUUUACAAUAUUAUAUUUUUAGAGAGAGAAAAAGAGUAAAAUAGAGAGGUUCAAAUAAGUUCAAGAAAAGCGAAUAUAAAAUUAAAAAUAUUUUCAGUACUUAAAUCGUGAAGAUUACUGUGCAUUCAUUACGUGUGUGUGUGUGUGUGUGUACCUAAUCAUAAACCUUGUAUAUUAAAGAUUAUACAUAACACAAACUUAACAAAUUUUGGUGAACUUUAUAAAUUUUAAAAUUUAUAUAGUUCAAAAACGUUAUCUACUCUAUCUCAAAUUUGAGAUAGUUCUUUGUUAUUUGAUUAUUAUUUUUUAUAAAAAUUAAAAUUAAUAAAUAAUUUUAUAAUUUGAGACAGUUCUUUGUUAUUUGAUUAUUAUUUCACUAUAUUUUUUAAUUAAAAAAUUUAAUUUAAAUAUUCUUAUGUUAUACUUGAUAAAAUAAUCCAAUAAAUGAAUUUGAUGUUCUAUUUUUUUUAUUUUUAUCAAAAGAAAAGGGGUUGGUCUCACGUGCGGUUGACCGCACCCCAUGCGGUUGGUUACUUUUAAUGCGCAUGAGAUGUACAUUUGUUCGUAAAAAUAUAUACUUAUGUAAUAAUAAAAGUUUUCACAAAUAAAAGUAACAAUUAUCGUGAAUAAAUGUAAUAGUUUAGAAAUAUUGCAUUUCAUUGUAACAAUAAUUACUUUUUAUUACGAAAAUGAUUACUCGACCAAAUAGUCAAAAAUAAAAGUAUUAAUGAGUGAAAAUAACUAAAAGUAAAAAGUUCUUAUAAAUAAAAGUAUACAUUAUUGUGAAGAAAUGUAAACUUUCAAACCGUCCGCAUCGUAUGCAGUUGACCGCACAAGAGAAUUUGCGAAAGAAAAGAGAAGAGUAGAGAAGAGAGAUAAAUUUUGUAGGAGAAAGAGAGAUAAAUAGAGAUAAUGGUUGAAUUUUUAAAUCUGGAUUGGAAUGCACUUGGAAUUUUUGGUUUGAUUAUGCAAUUUGGUUGUGUGAGUUCACAGUUAUGGUGAUAAUGGUGGUUGGCGGUGUUGUCGGCGGUGCAGUGGUGGUCGUCGGUGGUGGGCGAUGGCAGACACUUAAAAUACAGUAAAAACAAUCACUAACCAUUUACUAAUCAAAUACACUAAGAAGGUGGGACACCCUACUGUAUUCUCUAAUCUACCUCACCUUAAUCUUUGUGCCCAAAUGAAGUAUAUUUUCAUUAUUGGGACGGAGGGAGUAACAACUUAAGGUGAAUAAGGAGAGAGAGAAAAAAAAAAGAAUAUAGAAAAAGAGAGAGGAGAGAAAGAAAAAUAAUUACUUUAAAAUUUUAAAUUAUAAUAACUUAUUUAUUUCAAAUUCAUAUUUAAUGAUUUUUACAUCAAAUUAAAGAUCUUGGCAUGAUCUUUAAUUUAAGAUACAUAUCAAAUAUAUUUUUCAUAAAUCAAAUUUGAAUAUUUUUAAAAAAUCAUAGAAGUAUGUGUGAUAAAAUAAGGAGAGAGAAAAUGUGGAAAAAAAUAUAUAUAUUCUCAUAUCUUUUCGUAACUUAUAGUAAAUAUUUUCUUUUUCCUCUUUCAUCUCUUCCUUCUCUUUUUUAUUCUAAAAUAUUAUCCUCAAUUAAUAUUAUAAUUGCAAAAAUGUCAUCAAAUUGACGAAUAAACAAAAGUGGUGUUCUAUAUUAUAUAUAGAUAUAUAGAUUUGACAUCUCUUGCUUUUCGGCUCAUACUUAUCCACACCAAAUCUUGCCUGCCUAUUUUGAUUAUUUUGGCCACACAUUUCUAUCGAACUCGUAAUCAUAAUUAAUACUCCACGAAGAUGAAAAACCAACACAAUAAAAUUCAAAGGGCCGUGCGAGAAAAGACACGAUAUGUUCAUCUCAUUCCAAUCUUUUGAAAAGGAAUAGAGAGAAAUAGCAAAUAGCACCCUAUUAUAUAAUCCUUUAAUAUGUUUAUUCUUUUAUUUUUUAAUUUUGGACUAUUAGCCCCUCAACAUAUCAUAAAGAGUGUAAAAUGCCCCCUGUUAUUAACGAACAUUUAACACAGUUAAAUAUUUUUAAUUUUUUUAAUUCUUAUUAUAAGCAUAUAAUUUUUUGAAUUUAAAUUUAAAUGUUUGUAAUNUUGUUAAUCGAUUUGACAGCUAUGAGUCAUAAAAGUCAACGAUUUGACAGCUAUAAGUCAAGAAUACAUAUGACCCGUGAGUGGCUAGAUCAUGUGUCCGCUCGAGUGGACACAUGAUUUCACCGGGCGGACACAUAAUUUUACCGGUCGGACACAUGAUCUAGCCACCCAAAUUAUGUAUCCGACCGAUAAAAUCAUUUGUAUGCCCGGGCGGACACAUGAUCUAGCCAUCCACCGGUCAUAUAUAUAUACUCUUGACUGAUAGCUGUCAAAUCGUUGACUUUUAUGGCUGAUAGUUGUCAAAUCGGUCAACAAAUCAAUCAAAUGUGUAAGACUUGCACAAAAAACAAGCAAACCCAUCUAAUCAAAGAAUAUUUAAAGAAUAUGGCAUAAAAUGUUUAUAUUUAUAAAAGAUGAUAUUUUUCACAUAUAACUUAAGGAAUAGAGCAUUUUAAAUUUUCACUCAUAUUAAUAGCCGUCAUAUAACUAUUCAAAUUUUAUCACACCAAAAUGGAGGGAUAAUAUUAUUCCUCCUUGAAGUGAAAAUAAGAAAGGAAAAAUAGUGUUUGUGUAAAAUGUAGGAUAAGAAAACAAACAUUUAAAGGCACAAAUUUUUGUUAUUUCUCCAUUUAGAGGGAUAAAAAGCAAACACACCCUUAUAGUAAGAAAUAUUAGUAAGAAAUAAAAAAAAAAUAAAAAAUACUCAACGGUGUUAAGUGUCCGUUAAAAGCAGGGGGCAUUUUGCACUCUUUAUGACAUGUUGAGAGGCUAACAACCCAAAAUCAAAAGAUAGGGAGGUAAACGUAUUAGGGGGUUAUAUUGUAGGGGGUUAUUUGCUACUUUUCCCAAAGGAAUAUUGCAAUUUUAGAGAAAUGUUAUGCUACAGAUCUUAUAUCUUAUGUGAGUACUGUUCAUAUUAAGUAUCUGUUAGCAUUAUUUUUUUGAUUUUAAAUAUUUAUUUUUAUUUUAAUACUUCAUAAAUUAUUAUUGAGAUCAUUAAUUUUAUAAAUUAUAUAAAAAUUAAAGUUUAAUUUAUUUUAUUAAUUAUUUGAAGUUAAAGGGAAUAUGAACAAAUCGAUCUUUGAUUUUUAUAUAAUUUAUAAAAUUAAUGAUCUUAAUUACAAUUUAUGAAGUAUUAAAAAAAAAGUGUCUAAAAAAAAUAACACUAACAAAUGUUAAACGCGAGUGAUGUUCACGUAAGGUACGUAGCAUAACAUUUCUAUACAAUUUUAUUUCCAAGGUUUGAGCAUUUAAGCUUUCAAUGAUCUAUAAUUACAAGUAAAUUCUUAGUAUAUUAAAGUAUUUUACGAAAACAUUCUCAAGCCCAUGGAAGAGAGAGGGAGAUUUAAAUCAUGGACUUCGAUUUAAUUUGUAAUUUGACAUGAUUUUUAGAACAUAACAAAUAAUUAUUCAACCUCCCAAUUUUUUAUUAUUAAAAACUUCUCCAAUUUUUUUGGCUGCUUGAACUUCCUAAUUCCCUCAAUUUUUUAUGAUUAAAAACUUCUCUAAUUUAUUUCGCUACUUGAACUUUCUAAUUCCCGUAGUUUUUUUUUUUUUUUUAACUUUAAUUUGAGAAAGUAAAACAUGAACUUUGACGGGUACGAGGAAAGAAAUAUGUGGUAAUAUAUAGAAAUAUCCAAUUUUAUAGAAUUGUCUAUAAAAAAUAUCCACUUCUUAAAAUUGCUAUACUACAUAAUCAUUAUGUAUGAAUUAUGCGUUUGGUGGUAUAAUUAAAUAGAUAGGCGGUAAAAUGGAUUAUAUCAACGGUAUACUUAAAUUGUUGGGAAAUAAUUGAGAUAUCCAACUAGUUUUGGUGAUACCAAAAUUAUUAGAAUGCUUCGCUUGUCUUUAUUUCUAUUGCAUGUCCAAAUGUUCCAGUCCUCACAGGCUCUGAUUGAUGUUGCAAAGAUUUUAGUUCAGUCAGACUAGGAACAAAAGACUAAAGACUAAAGACAACACAACUGAAGCACAGUUCACUGAACAAACACAAGGACGCAUCUCGACUGGAAGUCAUCAGUCAUCAGUAAUCAGUCGAAGAAGUUCACACAUUCAACAUCAACCUUGAACUGAAGACGAAGUCAAAUACCAGUCGACAUUCUGCAUCUAACUGAAGAGAAGAGUACCAGACACGCUACAUUAAAUGCUCAAGUACUACAACAUUAAAUGCCGAAUAUUUGGAGAUCAUCCGUACAUAUGCCAGAGCUCUCCUUUACGUGUAAAGAUGCAGAAGCAACAUACUCCGAGGACAAGACAAUUCAAGAAUCUGUCAAAUGGAGUAUCUGAAGGUUGCCACCUCAGCCCAAGAAGCGACAUUCUCUCACAACGACAGAAACCUUGAAGACCAAGAUCAUCUCUCCAACGAAUCUAUUCAAGACUUCGCCUAUAAAUAGAGCUCGAGAAACAACUGCAAAGUACCGAUUCGAAGACAUACGCUGACGCUCUGCCAAUUUAGAGAGCCAGCACUUCCAUAGACAGAUUUCGAAUCGAAGAAGAGUGUAAUCAACGUUGUAAAAUCAGUCUAGCUGAUUACCUAAACUCUCUUGUUAGUCUAGGCACUUCAUGUCUUAUCCUAAGCCUAGAAUGGAUUACUCGAGAGCCUGUUCUCAGUAAUCUAAGUUGGAAGAGUUCAAACCCUUUUUCAACCGAGAGAAAAGUGAGUUUGAGUGGUUGUUGUUUAGUACCAGAAAACUAAACUGUUGUUGGUUGUGGUUUAGUACCGGUUCAAAACUAAACCGUUCGGUUUCCUUGGCACCCAGAAAGCCAAGAGGGAGUUCAGCUUAAAGGUGCUGGCUCCAAUCACCUUAGCAUUAGCUGAAUGGGCACGACAGUGUCAGGGCGUGCUAAGUGUUAAAUCCAAUUCAGGGUGGAUUGGUAGAUUUUGUUGUGCACCUCUAAAAGCAUAAGCCCGGAAUGUUUGUCAGACAAAUAAUCUGGUUGUGGAUGUAGGAGAGAUGUCUCCGAACCACAUUAAAAAUCCUUGUGUUUGUUACUUGCUUUUAGUUAUUUCCUUUAUCUGUGCUUAACUGGAUUAAUUGAAAAGUGUAACCAAGGAUUUUACAAGUGACAAACAUUUCGCACUAAGUUUAAAUUCCGCUGCUGAGUUAUUAAUCCUACUGACGACUGAUUGUCAGAGAGAUUAAUAACUCUACUCUGUUUUACAAACUAGACUGAAGCCUUACUUGAAUAUCAGCUAAGCCCAGUGCUCGACUAUUGUCAUCUCACUGAAGCUUCUUCAGUAUCAAUCUACAACUGAUUUCUAACUGAAACUGGUUAAGUUUGUUUUGAAUGCGAAAAAUAGCCCACGGGUGCAUUCCCCCCCCCUCCAUACACUUGUCAGUCAACCCUCCGGGACCCCAACAAUUGGUAUCAGAGCAGGUUGUUCGCAAGAACAAUUUGUUCUAACCUAGUUCUUACUGAACUAGAUCUUACACAAGGGUUUUCUAAAUUCUUAAAACUUUUUUCUCUCUUCGAACGUGCUUUGUGCUCCCGCCCUUUUUUCUCUUGUCUUUCUCCUUCCUUUUCUCAUGGCCAGGAACACUGAAGAUUAUGCAAGCAACUACAUCGGCACCUUCUUCCGUGGAGUCAACGGCCUCGAAAUUGGAUCCUUGGAUUCUGAUUCCGACGAUUCAUUUAUUUUCCCUGAAGAAAAUGAGAGUCCAAAACACUCACCUCUGGGAGAAGUGAAUGUGUAUGAUCAAGUCUUACAUAAAUACCAAGACUUGAGAAAGGCUUUUGAAGACCUCAUUAAGGAAAAUCGGAGAUUAGAGAAGCAGAUCAGUAAAGUAUGGUUUGAUCAAGAAACGAUCAUUCUCUACUUCCCAGAUGAAGCAGAUGUCACUACAAAAAAACACGCGUUUAACGACCGAAAUUAACGAUCGAAAUUUUCGGUCGUUAAUUUUGCGGCCUUAACGACCGUUUCAUGACCGGUUUUAUUUUUUAUUUUAUUUAUUUAUUUUUAUUUUUUAACGACCGAAAAUUCGGUCGCUAAUUAUUUUUUUAAUAUUUUAAUAUUUUAAUUUUAUUAACGACCGAAAAUUCGGUCGUAAAAAUUAUUUUUUAUUAUUUUAAUUUUAACGGACCGAAAAUUCGGUCGUUAAUAUAUACGUUUUACGAAAAAAAAAUUUUUUAAAAAAAAAAUUUUUUUGAACGACCGAAUUAUUCAAUCGUUAAUAUAUUUUUUUUAAUUUUUUAAUAUUUUUAAAUAAAAAAAUAUUUUUUAAAUACCGAAUUUGUCGGUCGUUAAAAUUAAUUUUAUUUAUUAUUUAUUUAUUUAUUAUUUAUAUUAAUUUUUUAUUUAUUUAUUUUAUUUAUUAACGACCGAAUAAUCGGUCGUUAAUAUUAAUUUUUCAAUUUUAAAAUUUUAAAUUUCGUUUUUAUUUUUAUUUUUAUUUUUUGAUUAUAUAUAUAUAUAAAUAUUUAAUUAUUUUUUAUUAAUUCUCUAUUUAAUUAUUAUUUUCUAAAUUAUAGAGAAUAUUUUAAAAAUGAUUGUUAUUUUCAUAAUAUUAUUCUAAAAAAAAAGAUAAUAUUGAUUAUUAAUAAAAAUGUGAUAUUAUUUGCAAAUAAUAAUAAAUUAUUAGACUUAUUAUAAUAAAUUAUUAGACUUAUUAGAUUUCUAAUUAUUAGAUUCAUUAUUUCAAAAUAUUAAUAAUUUUAUUAUUUAAAAUAAUAAAAUUAUUUUUCAAAUAUUAAUUUUAUUAAUAUUGAUUAUUUGAUUUAAUAUUGAUUUUGUUGUAUAUUUGAUGUUAUUUUUCAUACUCAUAUUUUCUUUUCUUUUUUUAGUACGAUAAUAUUAUUUUUUAUUAUUUUAAAUUCGAUCGUAUAUUUACGUCAAUGUUUCGCGACACCACAAAUCUUAGUUAUUAUCUCGACAUAUUAUAAGGUUAUGAAUGAUUAAUGAUAUUUUAUAUUGAAUUAGAGUUUAAAUGAAUUAAUAGGUACUAUAUAUAUAAAUAAUACAGUUUCUUACUGGUGACUACUCGAAAGAACUUCAAGGUUAAGCGUGCUUGAUUAGAGCACAAGUAGAGGUGACCUACUGGGAUUCGUCAAAUGGUAUGCAAUUAAGUAAAAUACAUUAGAAAUACAAAAAAUACUUGUGGGAUACAAAGAUAAAAAAAAAUUAUUUUUUUCGAAAAAAACAAUAUUUUUUUUAUUAAUUUUUAACGACCGAAAAUUCGGUCGUUAAAAAUAAAAUUUCGGUCGUUAUUUAAAAAAAUAAAAUAAUAAUUUUUUAAUUUAUAUUUUUUAUUUUUUUUUCUCUUUUUAACGACCGAAAUUUCGGUCGUUAAAAAUAAAAAAUCGAUCGUUAAAUUUAACGACCGAAAAAACGGUCGUUAAAACUCGGGCGACGAUGCAAACAACGACCGAUUUUUGGGUUUUAACGACCGAAAUUUCGGUCGUUAGAGCCGCAUUUUCUUGUAGUGAACUAGGUUUACGGUUUCAGUUCAGUUCAGUUGUGAAUUUACUGUUUCAGUUGUGAAUUCACAAUCAUAAUAAUUCACAACUAGGGUUUAGGUUUAGGAUUUAGGGUUUAGGGUUUCAGUUCAGUUCAAUUGUGAAUUUACUGAUUAAGUUCAUUUGUGAAUUUACUGUUUCAGUUCAGUUGUGAAUUCACAAUCGUAAUAAUUCACAACUAGGGUUUAGGUUUAGGGUUUCAAUUCAGUUCAGUUGUGAAUUUACUGUUUCAGUUCAGUUGUGAAUUCACAAUUGUAAUAAUUCACAACUAGGGUUUAGGUUUAGGGUUAGUGUUUCAGUUCAGUUGUGAAUUCACAAUCGUAAUAAUUCACAACUAGGGUUUAGGGUUUCAGUUCAGUUCAGUUGUGAAUUCAAAACCAAAAAAAUCUGGUUGUGAAUUAAAUUUUGAUUGUGAAUUCGACUGGUUGUGAAUUCGAUUGGUUGUGAAUUGCGGGAUUUUUUUAAAGGGGUGAUGUAAAGUGGACAUUUUUUUAAUUUUUAAUGUGAAGGGUAUUUUGGUAACACUGGCCAUUUUUAAUAUUUUUAUCUUAGUGGACAAUUUUUAAUUUUACAAUAUGAAAGUGGCCAUUUUAAAAAUCCACUCUAAAAUUUAUAUGAUUUAAUAUUUAAAAUGUUAUUUUUAAGAUAUAUAUGUAUAUAUAUAUAUAUAUAAUUAUUUACCUACAAAUUUAUAUUAGUAUAAAUUUUACUUUAGAAAAUUAUUUUUAAGAUAAAGAGUUCUAAAAUGAACAAAUAUAAGUUUUAUCUUUUUAGUUGCAUUAAAUUGUUAUAAUAAUGAAAGAUAAGAAGUGAAACAUUAAAUUUGGAGAAAUGAGAGGAUAAAGGAAAGAUGAUAGAUUAGAGAGAAAAAUAUAAUAAUUUUAUGAUUUUAAACGAUAAUAACUUAUUCGUUUCAAAUUUCUUUUUUAUAAUUUUUAUAUUAAAUUGAAGAUCUUUUCGUUAUCUUUAAUUUAAUAUCCAUGUUGAAUAGUUUUUUUAUGAAUCAAAGUUGUUGAUUUUAAGAAAAGAAUCAAAACAAAAAAAGGUAAACAAGGAUAGAGAAAUUUUGGUGGGAAAAAGUUAACGUUAGACUUCUCUUUUAUAUAUUAUAUUAAAUAAAUUAUAAUUAACAAUAAAAAUAUAAUUAACUAUAGAUAUUUAAAUAAAAAUCCAUAAUCACUUAAUUUAAAUACAUAUAUAAUAAUGACGUGGUCUCCUGUACACCCGGGUUGUACCCGACCCAGAUCCUGACCCAAUUGGACUAUCUUGAUCCAUUUUUUCUUCAAAUGACACUAAUAUUAAUAUGAAAUGACACUAACACUAACACGAUCUUGGAAUGACACUAACACUAUUUUGUUUUACAAAUGACACUAUUUGAAAAAUAACACUGACACUAUUUUGUUUUACAAAUAAUACUAUUUCGAAAAUGACACUAACACUAUAUUGAAAUGACACUAUAUGAAGAUGACAUUAACACUAUAUUGAAAUGACACUAACACUUGACAUUCGGGUAGGAUAGUCCAGUUGGGUCAGAUUCGGAUCAGGACCCUAGUGUACCGUACACUCGGAUGUACAAAAGACUUUGUGUAUGUUAGAAAUAUAGUGUUAUUUAUGGUAUGAUAGAAUAGGGUUUAUUACCUUCCUUAUAUAGAUUAGAAUCUCUUGUAUAUUUAUAUGUGCAGUGUCCAGUGAUAUGAUAUACAGAAAAUUCACCCCAAUUAUGUUUUACGUUGCUUUCUUACAUGGUAUUAGAGCAAUCGAUCUAGGGUUUGAGAUUUAGGAUUUUUCAAAAAAUUUCAAAUUUGAAAAUUAGGGUUUACAGAAAAUUAGGGUUUACCCUAGCUGCCGCUGUCUACCUCCGUUCUAGCCCUAACCAUUCGACACCUCCAGUUCAGGGAGGUGCACCGUUGUCCGGCGACCUUACGCCUGAAGUCCGGCGGCCACCGGAGUCCGGCUGACCAGAGGCAUGUUUCCGGCACGUAACGGCGCGUGCGACACCGGAAUCUGCUCUUUCGUCUCGACAUCCUCUUUCGAUCUGUGUACCUGUUAGGGUCAAUACCAGAGUGGUGUUGGAUCCGUUUCGGUACAGCUUCAAUUUUCUAGCAGUUUUCGUUUCUGUUUUGUGAUUUUGAUUUUCAACAUGUCUGAUGCGGAGCCUAGGACUGUUGAUAUUAUGCCUGUGAUGACUAGAAUCACAGAACACAAACUUACUCCAAACAAUUAUAUGGAUUGGCGUCAAACUAUUGAACUUUAUCUUUUGAGUAUAUCUAUGGAUAAACAUAUGACUGAUGAUUCACCAUCUUCCGGUGCUUCACAACUUACAUGGCUUCGAGAGGAUGCUCGGUUGUUCUUGCAGAUUCGUAAUUCCAUCAGUAGCGAGGUCGUUGGCAUGAUUACUCACUGCAAGAUGGUUAAAGCUCUUAUGACUUAUCUUGACUUAUUGUAUUCGGGGAAAGAAAACAUUUCUCGAAUUUAUGAUGUGUGUCAGGCAUUUUAUAGGUCGGACAAAGGGGAUCGCUCGAUUACAGAGUAUUUCAUGGCAUUCAAGAAGGCUUAUGAAGAACUUAAUUCACUGCUUCCUUUUAGUAGCGAUGUCAGUGUCCAACUUGCCCAACGGGAGAAGAUGGUUGUGAUGAGUUUUUUGGCGGGCCUUCCGGAUGAUUUUGAAACUGCUAAAUUACAGAUUCUGUCCGACUCUAAGAUUUCCUCCCUUCAAAAAGCUUUUUGUCGAAUUCUUCGGACUGAACGUUCACCCUCUGUCCCUGUCUCUCACCUUGGGAGUGUCCUGUCAGCCGUGCUCCUACAUAUGAGUCUGGGAAGACUCAAUACAAGCACAACGGGACCAAAGGACAACCUUCAGCAUCUCGUGGGCAGGGACAGUGGCCUUCCUCUGUGGAAUGUCGCUAUUGUCAUGACUUUGGACAUAUCAAGAGGGAUUGUCCGAAACUGCGCAAUAAGAAGCCUUCGUCUGCUCAUGUGGCAGACAGUGGCAAUCAUAGUGGCGCGUCUAGUGAUUCUGUCACUAUUUCAGCCAAUGAAUAUGCCAAGUUGUUACAGCAACAAGAGAUAAGUCCAUCCCAUUCUGUCACUGCUAUUGCCGAGUCAGGUAAACCUAUGCUUGUCUAGUUUCCUCACCUUCCAAAUGGGUCAUAUAUUCUGGUGCCACCGAUCAUAUGACAGGUAAUUCCAAAGUAUUCUCUACCUUUGAGUCUCAAAAUACCUAUUUUCCCGUUACAUUAGCUGAUGGAUCCCAAUCUUAUGUUGUUGGAUCAGGAACGGUCAAUCCUACACCGUUUCUAUCCCUGUCUUCUGUUCUUAACCUUCCUAAACUCUUGUUCAAUUUGGUCUCUGUGAGCAAGCUUACUUGCACUCUUCGUUGUAGUGUCUCAUUCUUUUCUGAUUAUUGUUUGUUUCAGGAUCUUGCGACGAAGAAGAUUAUUGGUAAGGGGCAUGAGUCAGAUGGUCUCUACAUUCUUGAUACACAACCACCUUCAUCAGUAACAUGUACCGGAACCAUCUCUCCUAUGGAAGCACAUUGUCGGUUGGGACACCCCUCUCUAUUAUCCUUAAAGAAGUUGUGUCCCCAACUUACCAAGUUGUCAUCUUUAGAUUGUGAGUCUUGUCAGUUUGCAAAGUUUCAUCGUGUUAGUUUAAGUCCUAGAGUCAAUAAACGAGCUAAUGCUCCAUUUGAGUUAGUCCAUUCUGAUGUUUGGGGUCCUUGUUCUGUGACAUCAAAACCUGGGUUUCGUUAUUUUGUCACUUUUGUUGAUGACUACUCUCGUAUGACAUGGUUAUAUUUGAUGAAGAAUCGUUCUGAGUUAUUUACCCAUUUUUCUGCCUUUUGUUCUGAAAUAAAGACUCAAUUUGGUGUGCCUGUCAAAAUUUUACGAAGUGAUAAUGUUAAAGAAUAUUUGUCUCAUACAUUUCGUAAUUAUAUGAUGCACAACGAUAUUCUUCAUCAAACUUCUUGUGUUGACACACCAUCUCAAAAUGGUGUUGCCGAAAGAAAAAAUAGACAUCUUCUUGAGACCGCUCGAGCUUUGUUAUUUACUAGAAAAGUUCCUAAGUAUUUUUAGGUUGAUGUUGUCUCGACUGCUUGUUUCCUCAUCAAUCGGAUGCCAUCUUCCGUUCUUAGUGGUGAGUCACCCUUUCACGUUCUCUUUCCAUCUCAACCUUUGUUUCCCAUUGAGCCCAAAAUAUUUGGUAGUAUGUGCUAUGUUCGAGAUGUUCGACCUCAUGUUACAAAAUUAGAUUCGAAAUCUCUAAAGUGUAUAUUUCUGGGGUAUUCUAGGGUUCAAAAGGGUUAUCGGUGUUUCUGUCCUAGUCUCAACAAAUAUCUUGUCUCCAUUGAUAUUUCCUUUUCUGAACACAUACAUUUCUCUCCUGACCUCACUCUUUCUCCCACUAAGGAAGAUGAUCCUGACUUUCUCAGUUAUACAGUUUCCACACUGAUAGUUCCUCCAUCCGAGUCUACUAAGCCACCCAUCGUCCAAACAUACUCUCGUCGUCCUCCUCCUUCCGUGCCUGCUCCUACUGAGGUGGUUCGUGAUACGUCAUCUUCGUGUCCCGAUGAGCCAGUAUCUUCGUCGUCAGAUCCAACUCCGAGUGAUGAUCUUCACAUUGCCCUUCGCAAAGGUAAACGCACUUGUACGUAUCUCAUUGCUGCAUUUGUCUCUUAUGCUCACUUAUCUCCUGCCACUCGUGCUCUUGUUGCUUCUCUUGUUCGCAUUCCUAAAACUGUUGCUAAAGCUUUGGCUCAUUCUGGUUGGACCGCUGCUAUGGUUGAGGAGAUGAAUGCUUUGAUAGCUAAUGAGACUUGGGUUCUUGUUGAACUACCUCCUGGUAAACGAUCCAUUGGUUGUAAGUGGGUGUUUACAAUUAAAGUUAACCCUGAUGGUUCAAUCUCUCGUUUAAAAGCUCGUCUUGUUGCAAAAGGCUAUGCUCAGAUUCAUGGUGUUGAUUAUUCUGAAACUUUUUUCUCCUGUCGCGAAACUGACAUCUAUUAGGCUCUUGAUUUCAUUGGCAGCCUCGAAUCAUUGGCCUUUGCAUCAGUUAGAUAUCAAGAAUGCUUUCUUGCAUGGUGAUCUAGUUGAUAACAUCUAUAUGGAGCAACUGCAUGGCUUUGUUGCUCAGAGGGAGUCUCAUAAGGUUUGUUAUCUUCGUAAAUCAUUGUAUGGUUUGAAGCAGAGUCCUCGGGCAUGGUUUGGUACAUUUACUCGUGCUCUUGAGGAGUUUGGUAUGAAGCAGAGUAAAUCUGAUCAUUCUGUUUUCUACCAAAAUUCUGAUCGUGGUAUUAUACUGUUAGUUGUUUAUGUGGACGAUAUUGUGAUCACUGGUAGUAACUUUGAAGGCAUUGCAUCUCUGAAAGCUUUCUUUGCUACUAAGUUUGAUACUAAAGAUUUGGGAGAGCUUAAGUAUUUUCUUGGCGUUGAAGUGAUCAGAAGCAAGAAAGGAAGAAUUUUCUUGUCUCAAAGGAAGUAUGUGCUUGAUUUACUAUCUGAAACAGGGAAAUUGGGAGCUAAACCACGUAGCACCCCAAUGGUUCCUAACUUACAACUCACAAAGGAUGGUGUGCUGCUUGACGACCCUGAGAGAUACAUGAGAGUUGUUGGAAAGUUGAAUUAUUUGAGAGUAACACGUCCUGAUAUUGCUUAUUCAGUAAGUGUGGUAAGUCAAUAUAUGUCUUUACCAACUGUUGAUCAUUGGAGGGCAGUGGAGCAGAUUUUAUGCUAUUUGAAGGGAGCACCUGGACGUGGAAUUGUGUAUGGUGAUCAUGGCCAUGACAAGAUUGAGUGUUUCUCAGAUGCUGAUUGGGCUGGAGCAAGAGAAGAUCGAAGGUCUACCUCAUGAUAUUGUGUGUUCCUUGGAGGGAAUUUGAUUUCGUGGCAAAGCAAGAAACAGAAGGUCGUCUCACGCUCAAGUGCAGAGUCAGAAUAUAGAGCUAUGGCUAAAGCUACAUGUGAGAUUAUGUGGGUGCGUCAGUUUUUGGUUGAAGUGGGCUUGAAUGUUUCAACACCAGCUAAGUUGUGGUGUGAUAAUCAAGCUGCAGUCAUAUUGCAUCUAAUCGUCUUCCAUGAAAGGACGAAGCAUAUUGAGAUAGAUUGUCACUUUAUUCGUGAGAAGAUUCAACAAGGACUGAUCACUACUGGAUAUAUGAAAAGUGAAGACCAGUUGGGAGAUAUCUUCACAAAGGCUCUUAAUGGUGUUAGGAUUAGUUAUCUUUGUAACAAGCUCGGCAUGAUUAAUAUCUAUGCUCCGCUUAAGGGGGAGUGUUAGAAAUAUAGUGUUAUUUAUGGUAUGAUAGAAUAGGGUUUAUUACCUUCCUUAUAUAGAUUAGAAUCUCUUGUAUAUAUAUAUGUGCAGUGUCCAGUGAUACGAUAUACAGAAAAUUCACCCCAAUUAUGUUUUACGUUGCUUUCUUACGGUGUAUAAUAAUUAUAGUUAGUGUCUUUCAAUUAUUGGAAGAAUAGUAUUUACAACUAAAACUAAAAUAUUUAAAUAUGUAUAUUAUUAUAAUAUUUAUACAAUUCAAGUUAUUAUCUUUUUUAAUCGAGAAUUAACUCAAGUUAAAUUCGACAAAUACAUUUCACCUCAUAAAUAAAUAACUACAUAAAUGUGUUGUGAGAUUCCAAUAUGUGUAUACACAUAAUUAGACUGAUAUAUAUAUAUAUAUAUAUAUAUAUAUAUAUAUAUAUAUAUAUAUAUAUAUAGUGUGUGUGUGUGUGUGUGUGUGUGCGCGCGCGCGCGUGUGUAUACACACACACACAAUAUUAUUAUCUUAUUUUAUAAUUUUGAUAUUUUAAAUAACUUAAAGCCAUAUAUUUAAUUUUUUGUUUCGAUAAAUAAAAUUUUAACAUAUUUUUAUUUAUAUAUAUAUAUAUAUACACACAUAAUAUAUUUUUAUUUUUUUUAUUUAAUCUCAUAUCAUAAAUAAGUGUUCGGAAAAAUUCAUGUUCUGAUGAAUCCCAAAACUACCUAACAUGAUUAUUCAGCGUUGUAAUUAGUUUUUAGCUUAUCUGUUGGGAAGUUGAGUUUCUUUUUACAUGUAGUAAGUCAAGGUGAAACUUAAGAUGAAGUAUCCGUUGAAGAGCACGAAGAAUAGAAGUUUUCGAUCAAAUCAAAACUGAAUAAUACACACUCAGUUGAAGCUAGUGUACCAAUCAACAAAGAAGUCUUCUCAACUGAUAACAAGAUAGCUAACGAAUCAACGAAAGUACUCAGUUACAAAGCCACUAAAUUACUCUAUUGAAAUGUACUUUGUCUGACAGAUCUUCAGAUGAUCUGAUUGCUAAGAGAGAUUGUAUUCUAUGUUGCACAACUGACAGCGACAUUUCACCAACCUUCAAUGAGAAGUUUCUUUUACGAUGAAAUAAAGAAGGAUUAUAUUAAUGAGCUCUCCAACGGACAACGACUCUUUCUUAUACAUGCUCUUAUAUAUACUUCGUGGGUUCAAACACAAUAACUACUGAAACUCUGCACGAUCAAAUCCUACAAGUCUUCUAAAGCUCAAUAACACACUUUUAGCAUAUAAUUGCGAAGAAUGAAUUUUUACAAGCUCAGAAAAUCUCCCAAGCCUACAUGUUAUUUUACUUGAGAUCUCACAUUACAUUUUCUUAGUGAUUAGGUAUAUACUCUUUGUAUACUCCAGCCAGUCUCCCGAGCAAACUGAUCUUUUUGUGUUAUUCUAAUUGUAAAAGUUAGCUCACCCUAGUUGGAAAAUACUUUUGAAACACAUUUUCUUCUAUAAUAAGUUAGGAAGUUAGGUUUAGUGUUAGAAAGUAUAACGUAAGUAAGCGAUUAAGCGUUGAAAAAUUACCUAUCCAAUUGCAUAUACCUCGCACACACAAAAUAGCAGAAACUGUAUAACACAAAAUAUCAACGAAAGUACCACAGAAAGUAAGAACAGUGAACACAAGAGUUGUUCACCCAGUUCGGUUAAACAACCUACGUCUGGGGGGUUACGUGUUGGGAACUUAAUGAAAUAUCCUAGCCCUUAUUUUGAUGAUACCAAAGUCCUUAGGUUUUCUUUGUAAUAGACUAGAAUCUUUCGAACUCAAGUGUUGGAGUUCACCUUCUAGUUUGUUUAGUGUUCUAAAGACUGAAGACCGGAGGAAUGAAGAAUGAAGAACGAAGAACUAAAGACUGAAGACUUAAGAACUCAACUGUUGUUCACGAUUAAAGGCAGAGUCAAAUACUGAUAUUUGACUAAACGAGUUUCUCAACUGAAGAAUCAAUUAUGACUGAUUUAUUAAUGCAGGCCACGUGAAUUCAACGGACUGAUAGUAAAGUCAAGUAUCAGUUAACAUUCUUCCUCGGACUGAACCUCCAGGGUUCUAAAAGGAAGCCACGCACUUCAAGUACAACCGCAUUAAAUGUAGAGAUACAGAGUAUCGUCAUUUCUCUGCAGAGCAUUCCUUUUUGGUGAUUACUUUUCAGAGGCGCCCUACCUCCUGUACCUGAGUAGCCGUUUCUCACCAAAUAAGGAACCUCGAAGAUUGAAGCCCCAUCCAAUUUCGAAUUACCUUCCAACGGAUGAUUUCUUGAAGACCAUCUCCGCCAACGGAUCUAUUCAAGAUUUCUCCUAUAAAUAGAGCUCGAGGAUCACUUCAAUCUUCACCGAUUCAAAUACAUAAGCUGAAACGCUGCUGAAAUUGCAACUCAGCCAAUCAAAGCCUUCCAAAGUUUGAAUCGAAGAAGAGAAUCCUAAAGCCAAAAUCAGUCAAUUGCUGAUUAAUACAUUCUAUUAGAACCUUAGGCAAAUACUUGUUUAUCCAAAGCCUAAGUUACCGAUUACAGAGAGCCUGUUCUCUGUGAUCUAGUUGGUAGUUUUCGAACCUCCUUUCAACUGACCGAAAAGAGAGUUUGAGCCGAGAGGAGUUCAGACCAGUUGUUCUGACUCCAAGAGAUCUUAGCCAGCGCUAGCAAAGGCAUUGUGGUGUCUUAGCGUGCUAAGAGUGUUUGAGAAAUCCAACCCAGUGUGUUGGUACUGAAAAUUUGAUUUUCAGUUGUAAGGUUUGCUGUGCACCCGUAAGCACAAGCCCAGAGUGUUUGUCAGUGUGAUCAACUGACCGUGGGCGUAGGAAUUGGAUUAUGAACCACGUAAAAAUUCCUUUGUCGUUUAUCGCUUUCAGUCUUUACUUUCUUAUUUGUGCACAAACUCGUAAGUUAACUGAAACUGAUUAAUUGCAAAGUGAAACCAAAAUCUUGACAACGUGUUAAUCACAAAGGCUAUUUCAAAAGAAAAGUUUUCCACUGUCAGUGUUAUUAGUCUAACUGAUCAAUCUUCGGAUAGUCAGUAAGAUUCAUAACACUCCUCUGUUUUCCAUCAAGACUGAAGCCUCACGCAUAUCAGUUAAAGCAUUGCGCUUAACUGAUAUCUCUUUACUGAAGAUAGAUUCAGUAUCAGUCUUCAACCUUUGCAACUAAAGUUUUUCUUAACUCUUUUAUCAGUCAAAAGGUUGUGCUUGUUUGUUUUAAAAAUAGCCUAUAGGUGUAUUGCCCCCUUCCAUACACCUAUCCUGACCUUCCAGGACCUAACACCACGCCAAAGUAAAUUAUCCACUAGUGAAGAUAAGAUAUAUACAGGAUUUACUCGACAGACUCUAGCCUCAAUAUCUUCCCAAACCCUCACAACGAUCUACUCUCGAAGCGUGAAUAAAUCCUAUUCACCACCAACACCCACAAUCUAAAUCUUCACCAACAACCUGGUGAAGAUGAAAAAACACAAAAACGCACACCCACGAUCUUGCUUGCUAACAACCAACAAGAUAAACGACGAGCCUGUUCUCUUGGUCACUAUUAUUAUAGCAACAAAUACCGCAACUAACACAGUGCAAUUGUAGCAAAUAAUCAGUAACCGAGUAUCGUAUCCACAGGGACUAUUAUGAUGAAUCACCUUAAGUAAUCCUACCUAAACCCUAGUAAUAUUCAGGCAAACGAAAGAUUUGAUUGAUUAACUAAAACGCUAAUAACGAUAAUUAAAAUCACGUAGGAAAUAUCAAAUAUAAAAGACAACUGAUCCUAGGGUAGUAAAUUCAUUAACUAAAUCUACGUAAUUAAUCUAUUAAUCCUAUGUACCAAUUUAAUCCGGUUAUGAUGAGAGAUCACUUAAUUAAUCAAUUACUCUCGCUAGAGCAGCAACGAUCGUAGAUUAGUAAAUUCUCUAUCUCCGUUAGGUCUCAAGAAAAUCUACUAACUCCCAAUAGCUCCUAAGAAUAGCUCCCUAUGAUCCACCUAUCUCCGCUAGGUCUCAAGGUUAAAAUCAUAUCAUACAUUCCUGAAUCCGCUAAACAGUUAUCUCCGCUAGGUCUCAAACCGAAUAACUACACAUGCAAACUAUUGAUCAGAUAAUUCACAAGAAAUUAAGCACCAGGAAUUAUGAAUCAUAAACUGGAAGGCACAAAGGUAUUAACAAAUUAAUCACAUAAAUUCAAUCAACUAUUUACAAACCCUAGAAUCAGCUAAAGGAAACUAGCUAGACAUAGUAAAAUAAAACAUAAAUAUGAUUAAAAAGAACGCAAUUGUAAAAACGAAUUAUAUAAAAACCGAAUAAAAACUGAAGUAGCGGCUUGAAUCUUCAAUCUUGAUCCAAGCCUUGAAAACUGGAAAACAAUAAAACUAACUCAAGCUAUAAAACUAAAAUAUGAAUGCUAGGGUUCGGGUUCCGAUAUGGUAUAUCUAGAUAGGUCAAAAGAGGACCUAUUUAUAGAUUUCAGAUUUCCUACGAUCAACAUGGAAGUUGCCAUGCAAAGUAGAAUUGUAAAGAUAAUAGAAUCGUGUAAAAUAAGGCAACUCUCCAGCUGGAUGCGCGCUCCGGAAAAUACUCCUACUCUUGCCGAAUUCGCAGCUCUCGCCAGAGGAACGGAUGAUUUCUCUGACCUCGCCAGAGAAAUGGGUCGCCAGCGAAAUGGUGAUUUCUCUGCUCUGUCUUCGCCAGAGAAAUGGUGAUUUCUCUGACUUUUCACUUCCCUGACUAUUGAGCGCUGGACUUUACUUCUCUGAUGCUGGCGCUUCUCUGCAGAGGAAUGGGUGAUUUCUCUGGCUUCUGCGAUUCCUCUGCUCUGAUUUCUCUGGCUUCUCUGGCGAUUGGUUUAUCUGCUCUGGUGAGUUGACUUCGCUGCUCUGGUCUUUGAUUUCUCUGACGCCAGAGGAAUGGUGAUUUCUCUGCUCUGGAGACCAGAACACCUAGAAAACGCCAAAUUCAUCCAAAAUUCUCCAAAAUUGCAUUCUUCCAUCUCGAAAGCCUAAAUCUCCUGCAAAGCAUAAAAUACACCAUAAAACGCACCAAUUUCCAGAAGAUUAUCUUAAAAUACGCACAUACAAACCCUUAAAAAUAGAGUAAUUUAAGCAUAAAUCAACUCCCCCACACUUAGCCUUUUGCUUGUCCUCAAGCAAAAUCUAUAUGAAUCCUAGGAAGAGAUUGAUUUCAACAAUGUUCAUUUCCAUCCAAACAUUCACAAAGUCAAUUCAAAACUUUACAAUCAACACACAUCUCUCGGUCAUGCAAGUAACUCAAAGUUUAAGAAGCAACAAAAGAGUAAUGCAAGUAAUUCGAUCAGACCCAAUUCUCCGCUAGAAGUGAAUUCCCUAAUGUGAUCGCCUUUAUAAUCAAUAUCACCAUUUUUCACACUUUGUGUGCUUAGAAUUUUUCGACAGUUGAGCCAUAAUUCAUGAAAUAAAACCAUUUGGAUGUAAUCCAAAGUCUUUUCACGUGGUUUCCCAUGCUCAUAGUUAGACUAGAGGAGCAGAGACUCAGAGCUGCCACGUUUUCAGAACAGGCCAGAUGUUUCAGAGCUGGCAAUUUUAGAGUUGGCAAUUCGUCCAACUUUCAUUUUCACAGAUAAGAUAUGAUCGUAGGCAAUCACAAUGACAACACUCCUUCUAGCAUCUACCGGACAAAUCACGUUUUACUAACUUACAAAAGUGUUGCAACAAAACUCAUAAUUCUUUGCACAAUCAAGAAACAUAUAUUAAAAGUAAAUCAAGAAUAACCACCAAACAAACACAAACCCGAAAUGCACAUCGAAAACCAUCUUCUCUUCCACAAAUUCAUAAAAAUUAGCAAGAUUCGAGACCAAAAACUAAGCGUAGAAAGAUUGAUCUCACCCAAUUUUUGAAAAAUAUAAGCAACAAAACACCCCCCCACACUUAAAGCAUGCCAUGUCCUCAGGGCAUAAAAGAAAUACGAAGAGUGUAGAAAACGUCCCUGAUUAUCGGCAAUGAAAAGCUGAACCAUCGUGAGAGGCGGUGAAAAUGGAGGUUUGUGACCUUGGGCAGAGUAGAGAGUGGCUGCGCUGGACAGGGCAGCGAAGAGAGCGGCUGCGCUGGACAGGGCAGCGAAGAGAGCGGUUGCGCUGGACAUGAAGACCUCCAGAAAUCUGGCAGAGAAACACAUGCCCAUGGCGGUGGUAUGAACAAAGCGCGAGAUCUCGCAACUUCCAAGCUCAACACCGCACUAAAAAAAACCCAAACAAAACAACAAAACAAAAAGAAACAAAACGAAACUGAAAGAAAGAAAAACAAAACAAAAACGGUUGGGUUACCUCCCAACAAGUGCUUAAUUUAACGUCUAGAGCUCGACGAUACCUCAUGGUCUCAAUGAACAUCAAACGCAGCGGGCGUGACAGAUCGCCUGACACGAACAGAGACAGAGGACUCAUGUGCAUCAGCUGCGUGAAAGACGACGCUUCCAUUGGGCACAUCUAUCAUAGCCCUCCCCGUAGCUAAGAAUGAUCGACCAAGAAUCAACGGCGGAUUUGCAUCUUCAGGAAUAUCGAGGACCAAGAAAUCCGUAGGGAAGACGAGCUUGUCAACCUUCACAAAGAUGUCUUCAAGCUUUCCUCUCGGUUUCACUCUUGAUCUAUCCGCCAUUUGAAUCUCCAUCGAGGUCGGCUUGAGAGCUCCAAUUCCCAACCGCUUGAAAACAGAGAUGGGCAUCACAUUGACACUAGCCCCUAAAUCACAUAGAGCCUCGGGAAAGAGCUCUCCUCCAAUCUCGCACUCAAUGGUGAAGCUACCCGGAUCUUUCUUCUUCGAAAGUAGCUUCAUUGGCAGCUCAGUGCACACAGCUUUCGCCUGCGGGAUUUUCUUAUCCUCAUCACCCAUCUUCUUGGUGUGAACAACUGCCUUUUCUUCUUUUAUCCUUGGGAUAUCCUGCAAUUGUUGAGAGAGUUUGAGGCUGUGCACGCCGGUCCGAUUCUUCAAGUAGUCUCUCUAGCUCAUCCACUAUACGUCUAUGCUCUGUCUCCUCGGGAUUGGCAAUUUUUUUCUCAUUCUUGCAAUGGGAGAUCUCCAGCUUGAUUUCCUUGGCAUCCACCUUUUUGCUCGGCUUCACAGCACAUUGCUCUUCAAGCACCUCCCUCUUCAUCAGCCUACGGGGGAAUGGAGCCUUUGGGAUGUAUUCCCUAAGUGGAACAGGAGCUUUGUAUGGUUCCUCACUUGGUUGUUCAUGCUCCUUGCUCGUCUCCUCACAGUUUGCCAGGAAAAAUUCAAUCGCUUCCUCAUCAUCUGGAGACACAGUGUCAUCGAAAAUUGCAUUGCAUUGGUCAUUCUGCUUGCCUUCGGUAUGUCGAGGCCUGCUCUGCACAACUGCAUGGCUAGCCAUUUGGCUAACUUGCGUCUCCAAAAUCUGUACCUACUUGGACAGUGCUGAAACAUUGCUCCCCAUGUUAGCCAUACCAUUCUCUAGACUAGCCAUCCUUGCACCCAUGUUAUUCUCAACAUUGGCAAUCUUGGCACCCACAGUCGUCUCUAUACUGGCCAUCUUGUUGUCAAUAGUAGUUUCAAAACUAGUCAUCUGCACCAACAACUGUUGCAUCAUCUCUUGAAGUGAUACCUUCUUAGGCUCAUUGACAAUCAUCCUUGUGGAGCUCCGAUCAUGUGGCAAUUGGUAGCUAUUGGAGACCAUCUUCUCCAAUUCAAAAGUGUUUGCCUGCAUAGCUGACCCCGUCACCUCCAUCAAAUUUCCAAACUUGAGAUUGGUACAUGUAAUCGAGUAGUGAAGGUGGUGGAGGAGGUUGUGCACGUCUGUUAGCCUCUUUAAUUUGUCUUUGCUCAUUCAGCUGCCUCUGCAGUUCUGCAAUCAUACGCCACGCAGCUUCAAGAUCAAAAUUCUCAACCAUCGCGUGCUUCUUCUUCUUGCGGUUAUCCAACAGCUGAGACACCAAACGAAAAUAGAAACAGAAAACAAAACUAAAAAUAAAAAUAAAACUAAUUACGACCUGGAAUAAUAGCUUAAGUCUAUCAGAAAUAUUAAAGUAAAUUCUAAAUAGUCCCCGGCAACGGCGCCAAAAAGUUGAUCACUAUAUUCUUAACAACAAUAACUGCAACUAAACAGUGUAAUCGUAGCACAGAANCCUCCAAUUCAAAAGUAUUUGCCUGCAUAACUGACCCCCGUCCACCUCCAUCAAAUUGCCCAACUUGAGAUUGGUACAUGUAAUUGAGUAGUGAAGGUGGUGGAGGAGGCUGUGCACGUCUGUUGGCCUCUUUAAUUGUCUUUGCUCAUCCAGUUGCCUUUGCAGUUCUGCAAUUAUUCGCCACGCAGCUUCAAGAUCCAAAUUCUCAGUCAUCGCUUGCUUCUUCUUCUCGCGGUUGUCCAACAGUUGAGACUCCAAAUGGAAAAUCAGAAACUAGAUAAUUAAAAAUAAAAAAAAAAUAAAAAAUAUUAGGCCUGAAGUACUGCUACGUCUUAUCAGAGCUAUUAAAGUAACUUCUAAUUAGUCCCCGGCAACGGCGCCAAAAAGUUGAUCACUAAUUUCUUAGCAACAAAUACUGCAACUAACACAGGUAAUUGUAGCAAGCAACAAGUAACCGAGUAUCGUAUCCACAGGGACUAUUAUGACGAAUCACCUUAAGUAAUCCUAAUUUAACUCUAGUAAUAUUCAGGCAAACGAAAGUAAAGAUUGAGUUACUUAAACGCAAAUAACAAUAAUUAAAAUCACGUAGGAAAUAUAUCAAAUAUAAAAGACAACUGAUCCUAGGGUAGUAAAUUCAUUAACUAAAUCUACGUAAUUAAUCUAUUAAUCCUAUGUACCAAUUUAAUCCAGUUAUGAUGAGAGAUCACUUAAUUAAUCAAUUACUCUCGCUAGAGCAGCAACGAUCGUAGAUUAGUAAAUUCUCUAUCUCCGUUAGGUCUCAAGAAAAUCUACUAACUCCCAAUAGCUCCUAAGAAUAGCUCCCUAUGAUCCACCUAUCUCCGCUAGGUCUCAAGGUUAAAAUCAUAUCAUACAUUCCUGAAUCCGCUAAACAGUUAUCUCCGCUAGGUCUCAAACCGAAUAACUACACAUGCAAACUAUUGAUCAGAUAAUUCACAAGAAAUUAAGCACCAGGAAUUAUGAAUCAUAAACUGGAAGGCACAAAGGUAUUAACAAAUUAAUCACAUAAAUUCAAUCAACUAUUUACAAACCCUAGAAUCAGCUAAAGGAAACUAGCUAGACAUAGUAAAAUAAAACAUAAAUAUGAUUAAAAAGAACGCAAUUGUAAAAACGAAUUAUAUAAAAAUCGAAUAAAAACUGAAGUAGCGGCUUCAAUCUUCAAUCUUGAUCCAAGCCUUGAAAACUGGAAAACAAUAAAACUAACUCAAGCUAUAAAACUAAAAUAUGAAUGCUAGGGUUCGGGUUCCGAUAUGGUAUAUCUAGAUAGGUCAAAAGAGGACCUAUUUAUAGAUUUCAGAUUUCCUACGAUCAACAUGGAAGUUGCCAUGCAAAGUAGAAUUGUAAAGAUAAUAGAAUCGUGUAAAAUAAGGCAACUCUCCAGCUGGAUGCGCGCUCCGGAAAAUACUCCUACUCUUGCCGAAUUCGCAGCUCUCGCCAGAGGAACGGAUGAUUUCUCUGACCUCGCCAGAGAAAUGGGUCGUCAGCGAAAUGGUGAUUUCUCUGCUCUGACUUCGCCAGAGAAAUGGUGAUUUCUCUGACUUUUCACUUCCCUGACUAUUGAGCGCUGGACUUUACUUCUCUGAUGCUGGCGCUUCUCUGCAGAGGAAUGGUGAUUUCUCUGGCUUCUCGAUUCCUCUGCUCUGACUAUGACUUCUCUGGCGAUUGGUUUCUCUGCUCUGGUGAGUUGACUUCGCUGACUCCAGAGAAAUGGUGAUUUCUCUGACUCCAGAGAAAUGGUGAUUUCUCUGCUCUGGAGAUGUCGGUUCAUUUGGAAAACGCCAAAUUCAUCCAAAAUUCUCCAAAAUUGCAUUCUUCCGUCUCGAAAGCCUAAAUCUCCUGCAAAGCAUAAAAUACACCAUAAAACGCACAAAUUUCCAGAAGAUUAUCUUAAAAUACGCACAUACAAACCCUUAAAAAUAGAGUAAAUUAAGCAUAAAUCAUCUCUCACAAACGAACAAGCUUAGAACUCAAUAAACACACUCAACAAUCAUUAACUAGUUCGUCUACCCACACAUAUAACGAACUCAACACUCACAAGAAACACACUUUAUGAAUUGAAGAAGAGUAAUAAACACAGCAGCAGCAGCCCACUUCAAUGAAAGAUCUCUUCAUCUUAUAUAGAUGUGGCGACGGAAACCCCAGAAGAGAUAUUGUGAACUAAGGACUCUUCUUGAUGACUCUUUAUCUUCAAAUAACAAAGGAGACGUGCAUGCUCUGGACUUUGGAAGCAAGUCUAUCUAAAACCCAUGAGAUAUACUUCAAAAAUGAAUAUAUAGCUACAAACCUGCAGAGGACUGUAUCAGCCAAAGUACCUGACACUGAUUGGUACUUUGCUUGAAAUCGUAUCUGAAUAUUCUCAAGUAUUGCUGGUACAUUGUCUACAUAAUGACAAUCAACAUGAUUUGAGUAUGACCAAUACUCAACAAUCUCCCCCUUUGUCAUUGAUGUAGACAAAACAAGCUGCACAACUCAUGAAUAAACUGCAGCAUACGCAAUCUCAGAACUAAGAAAAGAGAUAAGCCACCAAACUCCCCUUUGAUACAGCACCAAACUCCCUCUCAAUCAACAAUUCAUAUUCUCCCUCCUUUUAUCAAUCAUCAAAGACAACUUCCCCUCAACAAGAGAUAGACGUGUUCUUAUGAAAGAACAUCUUAAAGAACAUACUUCAGAGUAAAACAUUCAUAGCAGGAUCAAGCGUCUUAUGAACAACGAUGGGAGCAACUUCCGUAACAACUACAGUAACACCUGCUGGAACAACGCCGGGAGUGACUUCUUUAGAUUCUCUAGAAGGAACAUUCGCUAAUACAUGAGCACUUUCCUCCAACAAAUUAGAAACUCAUUUAGCAUGCUCGGAAUCAUGUUCCAAUGUGAUAUCUCUAUCUGUCUUAACAUUUUCAUGAACAUGUAUCGGCUUCUGUACCCACUUUUUCUGAAUUUUUCUUAUUUUCUUCACCCGUUUAUCCUUCUGAUAAGAUCUGCAAUUUGAUCUAAUAUGGUCUAGCUUAUCACAGUAAUGACAGAUAGGAUGCCACGUUUUUCCAAAUGUUCCAUUCGGAUGAGGUUGAUCGAUCUUUCCUUUAGAAUAUCCAACGCCCUCUAGUAAUAAGAACUUUAUUUGAUGAAAAAGCUUUCUUGUACACGCCAUCUUUCUUCUAUCAUCAAGAUAAAAUCUUCACCGAGGUCUGAUGUGUCCACGACGACCACAAUAAUGACAAAUAGGAACAAAAGAUUGAGAGAUGUUCCUUCGUGAGGGAAGAUUUUUGUAUGCAGCUGGCUUGUGAUAAUUUUGUGUUGCCUUUCGAUUAUUCUCUUUUGGAAUGGCAACAUCGGGCUUGUGAGUAUCAACUUUGGGAAUCAACUCUUUCUUUAGAAAUCCUAUUCCAGCUUUGUUGUCAAUAUUUUGACCGUUCUCCAGAAUUUCUUCAAGCUUGUCAGUACCCGUGUUCAUCAUUCUGACAAGUUUCUGAUGAUGUUCCAGUUCGCCAAUCUUCAAUUUCAUAGACUGUUGGAGAACGACAAUAUCCUUCUUGAGAUUUUCUAAAAGAUCUUUGAGUUAAUCCCUUUCUUUUGUUACCUCACUGAGCUGUGUGGAUAAGGACUUGUUCACCUCAAGGACUGCAACGCAUUUCUGAUGCAAAAGCUCAUAACUUUUGGCAAGAUAAUUCUCGUCCAACUCCUCUGUAUCAUUGUCUGAAUCAUCGAAAGUAUAAUCCAAAGUAGAAAGUUUUUGAUAUGACUGGAAACCCAUAGAUUAGUCUAAGGUUAAUUGAUUGGUCAACGACUCUCUUGUUCAAUUAGGAUAGUGGACGUCGGAGCAAUUUAUUCCGAACCACGUUAAAUUGUUUGUGUGCUUUACAUUUCAAUAUGUCUACAUGUUGUGUCAAUUGUCAUACAAUCAACACACUUACAUUGCAUCGUUGAUCAUACUCAAACUGAACCCGAUUAAAGUGCACGAGACAAUAAGUUUUCAUUAAUAUUUUCAAACAAAGUGAGUAACUAAAGUCACAUUCCGCAUACAAUCAGUUAUCUGUCCAACUGAUAAGUUAUUCAAUUGUUAGUAGGUUUGGUAUUUGAUCACCACUCUGAAAUUUGUUUUACUCUAUUAUGAUAGAACACUUUCUGGACGAAGUCAGCUCACAAUUAGUGUGCUAAUAUUGUGUUACCUGAAAAAUCAGCAACAAUAUUGUCUUACUUGUUUUGUCAUUCUCAAAUAAAACAAAAAGUUGUUAACUAUUAGUGGAUGUGCUCUUUUAUCUUGUUUGUGCGUUGGAGUGCACUAUUGUGCCCGAUUCCCACCCAAAACCUACUAUUUUAAUGUAUUUAAUAUAUAUAUAUAUAUAUAUAUAUAUAUAGGUUCGUUUCGGUUUCUGAUCGACCCAUGGUAGGGAAACCGAAAUCGAACUGAAAUGUCAUCGGUUUAGGGUUACCGAACCAAAAAUCGACCGUUAAUGAACCGAAUCGAACCAAAAAUGAUCGAUUCGAUCGAUUUUUUUGAUUCAGUUAGAUUUUUGCUCACCCCUAAAUACAAUUGAAGAAUUUGUAUUAUUAAGGGUUCUUAAAUAGGACAAAGAAUUAGCCUUCAAAAUUGUAAACUAGCAACGUACAAGAUUUGGGUGAAUAUGCAAUUUAAGAGUGUGGAAAUUGAUUCUCCUCAACUAGAUGAGGUCGCAAUACGAAUCUAUCUCAAUAUAUCACCAAAUGUAUUUAAGCUCGAACGUAAGAUUAAAGUGUUCACAUAUUCACUGUCUAAAGAUUGAGUUGCUUUAAUCCAGAGGACACUCUCGAUCUAAAGGUUGGCCCACAAAUUCUUCUUGAACAAGCUAGAGCACUCUUGAUCCAAAGGAUAAUUUUGAAAAAUAUGAUUUUUAUCUCUAUUAUCGCACUUUUUCUUUUUUACUUUGGGAAAGGAGAAGAGGGAGCAGUGUGGUUUGAAUCCUAGAUCUCACUGUUCGUAGAGAUGAGUUCGCACUGCUUGGUGUCCCCUAGGGGACUUGUAACAUCAUAGUUAAAUUAUCAAAGAGGUAAGGCAAGAUUUUAAUCAAAAUAAAAUCGAAUCUCAACUUUAUCUUAAAUUGUAAUAAUAUAGGAAACCAAACAUAUAAAUAAAAUAAGAUUAUUUUGCUAUUCAUGCUUUAAAAGUAUUACCCAAACACAGCCUAAUAUUAUAUGCAAAGUAAAGCAUAUAAUUGCACAAGAAAUUGGCCCCUUUAAUCUCUUUUUGUCUUUAUUCCCAAAAUCUUGUCUCCCUCCAAAUUUUUUAAACCCUAAUUUUAUUUAGUGCGCUUUCUGCUCGAAUUCCCUUUUCCAUUUUUCUCCUCCACCGCUUCUCCACCGCCGUCCGCCGUCGUCAUUCUCAUCAAGAUGGCUCCAAUCGACCCCCACUCCUACACUGACUCCAGCCACCCCCUCACCACCCACAUCUCCCUCUCUUUCUAUUUCGAUUUCCCCUCCUCCACCAUCGCCUCCUCCGCCCUCCUCUCCCUUUCCGCCCCCCACUCCGGCCCACUCACACUCGACACCCGCUCCCUCUCCAUCUCCGCCGUGAUCGACCCCGUCACCGGCGCUCCCCUCCCCUUCACGCUCGACCCCCCUUCCCCCGACGCCGUUUUGGGGCAAUCCCUUGUCGUCACCCUCUCCAAUCAGUCGCAAUUGCUCCUCCUCUCCAAGACGACGCCGUCCUCCUCCGCCCUACAGUGGCUGUCGCCGCCGCAGACCUUCAACAAGUCCUACCCCUUCGUCUUCACCCAAUGCCAGGCCAUCCACGCGCGGUCGAUCUUCCCCUGCCAGGACACGCCGGCUGCCCGGAUCAAAUUCGCCGCGAAAUUAAACAUCCCGCGCUACCUCUCGGCGGUGAUGUCCGCGAAGCAUGUAAACCGGCGGGACCCCGCCGCCGGUGAGUGCGGCGGCGCGUGCGACGACGCCCUGUGGUGCGCGGAAGGGAGGGUCGUGGAGGAGUUCGUGAUGGAGCAGCCGGUGCCGCCCUACUUGUUUGCGUUUGCGGUUGGGGAGCUGGGGUUUAGGGAGGUUGGUCCGAGGACAAAGGUGUACUCGGAGGCGGUCCCUGCCGUGUUGGAUGCCGCGGCUAGGGAGUUUGCAGGGUCGGAGGAGAUGAUCAAGGUCGGGGAGGCGUUGUUUGGACCGUAUGAGUGGGAGAGGUUCGAUUUGUUGGUGUUGCCUCCGAGUUUUCCCUAUGGAGGAAUGGAGAAUCCAAGAAUGACGUUUUUGACUCCCACUGUGAUCAAGGGGGACGCUACGGGGGCGCAGGUCGUAGCUCACGAGCUUGCUCAUAGCUGGACGGGGAAUUUGAUUACUAAUAAGAACAAUGAUCAUUUCUGGUUGAAUGAGGUAUAUGAUUAUUUAGAUGAGUUUGUAGUGUUAGGUUGUUGAAUGAUAUCUGUGAUUGCUGUUGAUAGCUUCUAAUUUCUGAGCAUGCAUAGAUUUAUGGCCUCCGUUUUUGCUUUUGAUUGUGAUGGGUGAAAUGUUGAAUUGGUUUUGUGUAUUCUCCCGUACAAGAUGUAUUGAUGCCCUGAUGCUGUCUGUCUAAUAAAUUGGUGAAGCUAUUAAUUAUUACAAAUGGCAACGGAACAUAAUGUGGAACAAAAUACCUAAAGGGGAUCCUUUAUUGUAGAAUACUUACGUGCAAUUGAACGGCAGGACCUUUAAUUAGUGGAUUGUUUCUUCUUUUGAUGGCUUGCAUUUCAUUGCCAGUAAAGUUCAUGACUUCAUUCUAUUUUUGUAAGAGUUUGUUUCUGGUAUAAAUUGAUCACUGGCUUGAUUGUUGUUUGAUGUAUAUUUUGCAUUUGUGCUAAAUCAAAACUUGUCAUACUUGUCAUCCUUUUAAAACAAGUAAUAUCAAACUAAUUGUUAUAUGCACCCUGUUUUGGAUAUAGCUUGUAAACACUGUUUUUCUGUGAGAAUAAUUUAGUAAGGUAUGCCUAUUAUUUUUAUAAUUGAUGGGUCAAUUUGUGGAGUAUUGGUAAAUUGGUCAACUUUUUUUGUUAUGUGAGCGCCAAAAGAAACACUGGCUUUAUCUGGGUGACAUUCACAGAAAAAUGAAGGCUACAUUAGCUGUUGUCUUUCUCAAAAAUGGUUAAUUUUUUUGCCUCUGAUAACCCGAUUUAUCUGCUAGUGCUUUAUGUUUAUGAUUGAGAUUCUACUUGUAGGGUUUCACAACAUAUGCUGAGCGGCGAAUAGUUGAGGUUGUGCAAGGAAAGGAAAGGGCCAUACUCAAUAUUGGAAUUGGUUGGAGAGGACUCGUUGAGCAAAUGGAGAGGUUUAAGGACCGAAUGGAAUUUACAAAACUUAAAACCAACCAGCAAGGGGUGGACCCAGAUGAGGUAUAUUCUGAUGUGCCCUAUGAGAAGGGUUUCCAGUUUUUGUGGCGCAUUGAGAGACAGGUACACGCAUAUUUGCUUUAUCUUCCACUACUUGGUGAUCUUUAUAUAGUAGUAUAUAUUUACUAAAAAGCUUAAUUUGUGUUGUUUGUAAUUUGUGCACAGAUUGGGAGGCCUGCAUUUGAUGAGUUUCUUAAAAAAUAUAUUGCCACCUUCAAGUUCCAGUCUAUUGACACUGACAUGUUUCUUGAUUUCCUAAAAGCAAAUAUCCCUGGAAUAGAAGAUCAAAUUGAUCUAAAAGUAUGGACUGAGGGAACUGGCAUACCUCCAGAUGCAAUGGAGCCUGUUUCUGAAAUCUAUACAAAGAUUGUGUCGUUGGCUAACGAGUUUAAGUCAGGCAGGAUGCCAAAUGAGGAUGAAGUUGCUCAAUGGAGAGGACAGGAAUGGGAGCUUUACCUUGAAAAUUUGCCUAAAUCUGUUGAAGGUUCACAGGUACAGUAAGGAACACAACUAGUGUUCUUGCACUAUUCUGAAAUAAUAUCUGGGUUUCGCCAAGUUGUGAUCUUCCUGUUUUAGUGGGUUUAGAUGUUCUUGCUUCUCAAUUAUGUCAUAUGUGUUCGAUUCCCAGAAUAUCCUUCUUUGCUUCUCAUGUCAUACAAAAUAAAGCAUAACUGACUUUCAUCGCUUUCCUGUCUCCGCAGUAGUUGCACUAUCUUAUAUUUACUGUGUAGAAUGCAGUAAAUCUGAUACAAACUUUGUCAUGUUGGUCGUAUCACAGCUAGCAGCUCUAGACGAGCGUUAUAGGCUUGCUGAAUCAAAAGAUUACGAGGUCAAAGUGGCGUUUCUUCAGCAUGCUAUUGCAUCUAGGUGCAGUACCUACUAUAAUGAGGUUGAGAAAACUCUGAAAGAAGUUGGACGGAUGAAGUAUCUGCGGCCGCUCUAUACUGCACUAGUACAAGGCGCAGGCAAAGAAGAGGAGAAGAUGUUUGCAAGGAGGGUUUUCUCGGAGGCUUGCGCAAGCUAUCACCCUAUAGCUAAGGGUGUUGUUGAGGCCAUAUUUGCCAAACAUUUGUAAGUUCCCUUCUGUGUGAUCUAGCUGAAGAAUACUGUUUCCUACUCUUUCACCCUGUGGAAUAACUCGUCGAUUUCGGGUUCUAACUCGAGAUGCGUUCUGGGUUUAACUGAAUCUGCAUAGAUUUUUCCUUUUGUGGAGUUGCUAUAAAUCUGGCAGCUGCCAUGUCUGUAAAUCGACCGUCAAAUGUUUUCUGCACAGUAGGAAUGAAUAUGGUAAGUUAUCUGAAUUGCUGUAUCUUUGUAAAGUAAAUCCUAUGAAUAUGAUUAUAGAAGUAGAACAAUAGAAAUAAUGGAAACAAAACACCGACCCCAACCUUCAAUCAAGGCAAGCCUAUAAUUUUAAUGUAGUUUUAUUGCAAUUAGUUAUAUUAUAAUUUUAAAUAUCAUAGAAUCCCAUAUAUAAUACUUUCUCUAUCCAUGAUAUCGUUUACAUUUUGUGGACGACACAGGUUUUAAGAAAAUUGUCGAUAGUAGUUGAUAGUAAUGACUAAUGAGUGGAGUUUGAGUUCCACUAUUAUUGUGAGUGGACUUUUACGGAUCCCACUGCUAUAAAUGAGAGUGAAAAUGAAAUUGUAGACGAACCAAAAUGGUAAAAGUAGAAACGAUAUCGUCGACGGAGGAGGUAAAAAAUAUUCUCUUAUGUGGCAUUUUCAAAUUUUGCCAUUUCAAAAUAAUUUAACUAUCCUUUAUUUGCAAUUAUUCUUAGGGUAAAUAUCAUGAAAACCCGUGAAGUAUAUUCGUUUUAUCAAAAAUACCCUGAAACUUUCAAAAUGUUCUUAUAACCUCCAAACUAUUAAGUUUUUAUCAAAUAUAUUUUGCAUCUAUUUUUCGGUCACAAAAAACGUGAUGUGGCUCGUCGGAUGCUUCAAUGUAAUUUAUAUUCUAUUUUUUUUAAAUGCAAUGACAAAAACGACGUCGUUUCGUACACUCUAUGAGUCAAAUAGAAAGGAAUUAUCAAACAUGCAAUCAAAUUUGAAGACGAUUUCUCCAACGGAUUUAAUUUUGUUUGAGGCUGUAAGUACCCUGCCACUUCCAUUGGAAUUACUACCAAAAACAUUGCGCGAUUAAAUUCACAAGCUAUUCAAGUCCUAAUUUUUUAUUCUCAAGAACAUAAUGAUUUCCGAAGAAGAAAAUUCUACCAAGUAUAAGCGAUUUCAUCUUAAGAUACACUCUAUCUUCUCAAUGAUUUCCAAUGCACAUCCCCUUAGAUUCUAGGUGUUUUACACUAUAAAUAUAAGACUUUUAAAUUCGAACACACUGAUUUCAUCAAUUGUUAAUCUUCGUCUGUAACAAUGUAUUUUUAGUUGGAAAUCUAAGCCUUCAAACACUCACCCAGUUUGAAGUUAGAAUCCAAGUAAGCUACAUGUGUUAGUAGUCUGAAAGCUAAGAAGUUGUUUAUGGACACGACUGUGUAACUUAUGGAUCAACAAUUCAGCAUAACGCAAAUUGUUAAUCAAGCUGACUUGCAGAGUUCAAAAUUAUAAGUAUUACUUCCUCCGUCCCUCAAAUAUCUUUCUAAGGGAGGAUGUCACGAGUUGUAAUAAAAAUUAGUUGUGUAUUUGAUGAGUGAAGAAUGAGUCUCACAAAAAGUGAAGAUGGUAAGGAUAAUAGUUAGUGAAAUUAUUUUUAAAAUAAAAUAGGAAGAUAUUUUAGGGACAUACCAAAAUAAAAAGAAAUAAAAAUAUUUGAUGGACGGACAUGGUAUUUUUUAGUUGGGGGACGAAGACUUGUAUUAGGAUCAUUUACUUUUAGAGGAGGGAUAUUAUUCAUAAACUAAAAUAGUUAACACCGCGGGAUUAAUAUAUGACAACAUAAAUGAAAAGAACAAAUAAUUUUAAAGAUUUUGAGUUUGAAUUUAUAACUUUUUCUAAAACAUUAAUCAUAUUACCAGUUAAUUAACGGGAUGAGAUUCAGUGUCCCACAAUUUUAUGUGUGCCACUGUAUCUUAUGCUUAUAUUUAUUAUUUUAAAAAUAAUUUUUUAUAAAAAUAAAAUUUAUUAUAAUACUAUGAAUUAAAUUAUAUUUCAUGUAGCAAUUUGAAAGCACAUGAUAGGUGGAUCUCAAGUGAAAAAAAAUGAAAAUUUUAAUGUAAAAGAAAAUUGAAAUCUGAUUUGGAGUGGGUGAUGUGAAUCAUACCAUUUCCUCGUAAUCUUCAACUAAACAGAACAACUCCAUUUCAUCAACUCCAUUAUAUAUCAAAACUAUAUAUACCUCUUCUCAUCCAUUCUUCCUUCUUCACUAAUCAAUUUCACUAAUCAAGUAUCAAGAUGCCUAAUCUUCUUAUUCUCUCCUUACUAUUGUUAGCCACCACUUUGGCCAAUUCAACCCGAAUUCUCAUCGAUGUCACCCCAACACCCGACCCGAUAUCACCGCCGGAAGAGGCCGACAUCCCCGCCCCGGUGGCGGCCACCACCAAUGCCGCGGUAGCGCCAAUUCCCGAUGAACCGGCCCCGGUCAUUGCACCCGUCUCCGACCUCCCCGAUUCCGAUGCGCCACCACUGACCACCCCUACUGCCGCCACCGUCACCAAUGCCGGCGUAGCGCCAAUCCCAGAUGAACCGGCCCCCGUCGUUGCACCAGUACCCGACGUCCCUGACUCGAAAGCGCCACCACUAACCACCCCUACCGCCGCUCCCACCACCAAUGCCGGCGUGGCGCCAAUCCCAGAUGAACCGGCCCCCGUCGUCUCCAGCUCACCGCCACUAACCACCCCCACCCCCACAUUUUCUUUUUUCAUGCAUGACAUCCUCGGCGGUUCAAACCCCUCCGGCAGGGCUGUGGCCGGAAUCCUGGCCAGCUCCGACGCCAACAACCUCCCGUUCUCGAAAACCAACAACCAAAUCUUCCCCAUAAACGGCGGCGUGCCGCUCAACACCGUCAACGGCGUCGUGAACAAUAACAACCUCCCCUUCCUCGUGGGCCUCAACGGCUCCCCGUCCAACACCGUCGUCCAAAACAAUGGCAACAACGUCGUAUCCGGCGGCGGCAGCCAGCCCUUCGUGACGGCAGGGCAGCUCCCGGCGGGGCUGACGCUGCAGCAGCUGACGUUCGGGUCGGUGACGGUGGUUGACAACGAGAUCACGGCGGGGCACGAGCUGGGGUCCGCCGUGCUCGGCAGAGCUCUGGGGUUCUACCUGACGAGCUCGAGCGACGGCAGCAGUCACACGCUGGUGCUGACGGCGGUGUUCCACGGCGGCGAGAUGUUCGAUACGCUGAGCUUCUUCGGGGUGCAUCGGACAGCGACGCCCAUCUCUGACAUCGCCAUUGUUGGUGGGACUGGGAAAUAUGAGAAUGCUAAAGGCUUUGCGGCCAUUGAAACUCUUCCGCAUGUGGAUCAGCACACCACUGAUGGCGUCGAAACCAUCACUCAUUUCACUAUCUAUCUUACUCCCUGAACAACAUUCUCGACUCUCACAUUUUAAGUAUAUAUGUGUUUUCUUGGAGUCAUCUCCAUUGUAUUUCACUAUUUUCUUUAUUUUCCAUUUCCAUUAAAAAUUCACUGCGAAAGUUGAGAUGUCAUACUUUUUAAUUCAUAUCAUACGAUCGAUGGACUCUAAAGUUAAUUAGCUAGGUUUACUUUCUCAAAAAAUACACGAUUUAAAAUAGAAGUUGGAAGAAUUGCAAAUUACAAGUAAUUUGUAGCCAUUUAUUUUGAUUUUAUGAUUUGCAACUGAAAGAUUGAAUUACGAUUCUAUUUCUUCCAUUAAAUUCCACAACAACACAAAGGUAUCUACUAAGCUCACAUUCUUCUCCUCAUGUUAUAUGCUUCACACCCAACAAAAGCAUAUUAGAAUACUUUAUAGCAACACCAUACCUUGCAGUGAAAUAGAUUAAUGCAUAGCAUCUGUACUCUACAAACACUAGAAUAGCUUCGUUGAUCGACGCUGACUCACCGCCUGGAAUUAAUUUGGGCUAAACCUUGGGCCCUUGUUUAUUUUCUUUGAUGGGCCUAGUUCUGGGACUGGGCUGUUGUUUUAUUAAGAGGUUGUUUGGCUGAGCUUAAGCUUUUUAAAAUAGCUUAUAAGUUUAUUCAAAGUGUUUAAUAAAAUAAGCUCUUAAAGAACUUAUAAAUUGUAAAAAUAAAGUUUAAGAGCUCUCCCUAAAAAAUAAGUUCCUCUACCUAAUUUAUUUUCUCAUUAUCUUAUAAGCAACACGCAUUUUAUAAAAAUAACUCAACUAUAAUUUUUUAUUUUCAUCAUUUAUUAUUCUAAUUUCAUAUUUUUUUUAUUUCUCUAAUUAAAAAUUCUCUCUCAAACUUGAAAAUUCAAUUAUUCAAACACUUUAACAAUUUAUAAGCUCUUAAGAAACUAUAUUUUAUAAACUUUUGAAACAUCUUAUAAACUCCAAGAGCUUAUAAGCUCUUUAAAAUAAAUUUAAUCGAACAUCCUCUAAGUAAGAGUUGGAGUUUAAUUUAAAAGUGGUUGAGUUGCUUUGUGUUGAGCCUUCUUAAAUAAUUGAGCUGUUUUAUUAUUUGAGUUUAACUAAAGAGAAGUUUAGAUUAAUCAAUUAAUUUGACUUAAUUACUUACUAUUAUGAAUUAAUUUAGAAUGAUGUAUAUUAAUUAGUAAUUAAGUUAGAACACUCUAAGAUGAACAGAUAAUUGAGGUUAUUAUUUUGAUUACAUAAGAUGGACCUUAAUUUUAUUAAUUUAAUCCUAUAACCUUAAUUAUUAAUAUAAUUUCUCGAAUUAUUAUUUUAGAAUAAUAAUUACUUGAAUAAGAGAUAUUUCAUAUUUAAAUUAUGCAUUCUUAAUAAUUGAGAAUUUCCCUGAGCUAAUGUCUUACUUUAUAUUCUAGCAAUAAAGGUCAAUCGCGAGAGUGAGAGUGCUACUCGAAAACUCACGGCGCCUUAGCAAAGUUUUGCUAUCAGGUGGGAUUACUUUCUUAGUAUAUAAAAUGAAGUUAAAUGUUAUGUUUGAACAUUUUUUUUUCAAAAGAAUUUGAAUUGAAAAUAUUUCAAGUAUUUUCUUGUCAUAAAUGUUUCAAUUUUAGUAUGAUAUCUUUUUUUUUUUUGAUCAAUAAUUUUAGUAUGAUAUCUAUCUGCAUUGGCAAAUGACUUUGCCAAUUAUAUAAUCGAAUCUGGAUCUUGAGCGGAUAGCUAUCCUUCCUGAAUUAGUGUACACAAUGACUAUGUGUCAUUGAGAGGGUUGGCCGGUCUAGUGUCCGCAAGAGGUGGUCACCUCUGCUGCAUACAACUUCAGUAUCAAAUAUGGUAGAACUUAGUAUAAUUAGAAGAACUUUAAAAUCGCAAAAGAAUUUAGUAAGCUUGAACCUUUUUAGCUAAAACCCCAUAUUGUACUGUUAUAAUGGCAUGACAAUUAAAUUUUAUGCAAGCAUGUAUAUAGUUUUAGCAUAAAAGCCCACUGAGUACUUUCGUACUCAGCCCUGCAUAUAUUUUUAAAUGUACAGGUAGCAGUGGCUGAUGAUGAAGUGACGAGCAGAGCUUUUGUCGUAGUUAAACAAACUCUUAGGAUACAUGACUUUAUACAUAUAAUCAGAAUAUGUUAUUCUGUUGUGUACGCUCAAGUACUUUAUUAUUUUCACUAAGUCGAUUUCGUUCGAACUUACAACGUAAUGUCGUAGACUUUGUAUGGGGUCUUUCUAACCAAACGUCAGUUAUCUUAUGAAUUACCUUCAUUGACAUUGCUUAUAGUUCGAGCCUUCAUUAAUUGUUCACUCCCUUUUUAUCCUUGUUUCUAAUCUCUCCCCCUUAGUCAUGGUUUUUCGGCCUAACUACCCUUAGCUAAAUCUGAUCGUGACAUACUGAUAUUAGAGCAAGUCAUUUGCCCUGAACCCAAUAGUUACUCAAUUAGUCCUAGUUUGAAUACUAGUAUAAAAGAGUCAGUCGACAAAAACCUCAGUACUUCAUCGCAUCGUCAUGCUCAAUAAAAAGUAAAGCAGUAAAUGAUUUUGAAUAUUGAAAAAAUUUUAUGUUUCAUGUUAAUGUGCAAGUGCUCAUGUUCUAAUUUUAUACCUUAUUGACCGUGUAGAAACCCCAAUGAAUCUAGAUGCGUUAAGAAUGAAUGGUCACUGUUAUAAGAAAAAUAGUAGAAGCAAACUUAGAAGAAAUUCAGUUAUCUCUCAUUGCAAUUCGUAGUCAAGAGAAAGCGAAGAGGAAGAAAAAUCAGAUGUCAUUUAAGAAGGCACGAUAAUUCAAUGAUAAAGAAGUAACGAGGUGUAAAGAAGAGUGUCACUCAUGAGCCAGUGACACGAGCAUGGUUCUUCAUUCCCACUGUUCAUGCGAGACAAAACACCGAAUCAACUAUUGCCUUAUUCAGUGAUUAUUUACUUGAUACAUUGCUCAUAGCGAUGAGUGUAACUUAUAUAAUUAGUUAGUUGUUGCAUAGUGAAAUUCGCCUCAUUUUAAACCCCUCAGUUAUCACUAUUAUGGCAUGAAGAGAGCCUUUAUGAUUUAUUUUUAAGCUCUAGGAAUUAGACUUUCAUGAUGUCAUGAUGUUUAGUAUGUAAGAUUGUGAUGAUGCUAUUAUAUCUGUCAGCUUACAAUUUCAGAUAUUUAGAGCCUUAUUGCUUACAGUUACUCGUUAUGAUAAUUGUGAGUUUGAUUGUGGAACCUUCUUGUUUAGAUGGCAAGGAGACGAUUCACCCUUCAACGACCUUUGCAUCGACAUGCGAGUCUAAAGGCUAUCAGGCGCUAAUAUCGCACUUAUGCCCGAUGUCACGGAUAUGACAUGGGGCAGUGCCUAGCGAGCUACCAUCCUCACUAGGUUGUUACGAGUGCUCAUCUGGUAACAGGUUACAACGGGAUCAUACGGCUAGUUCAAUUGCUACCAUCGAAUUGGCAAGGUUGCGCAACACAGAUUUUCACUCGUUUUCUCUUUCGGUCAGGCGAAUACUUUGACCCAACUGGAGACCUUUCUUGAUUAGUCUCGGAGAUCCAGACUUGCUUCCCUUUUAGAGCAAUGCCCAUCAAUAACCAUAUAUUCUUCUAGAAGCCUAUAUGCAGGUUGGAGUGCUCUGAAUUGCUAGAUCACAAGAGGCAACACUGGAGUUGGCCCCACAUGCAGUUGCCCCAGGGUUGCAGUUGAUUCCACUGUAGAGUCCUUAUUCGACAACCCCCAAACUAUGACACGUGGGACUAAUAAUAAAUCAAUAAUGAAGCAAGCCCAGGCUCGUAAGGAGUUUCCUCAUCGUAUGGACUCAGUAUAUUAGUUACAUACUCGUCUAUCGUCACAGACACAUUUGACUGACGUGGAGUCUGCAGCUGCUAUGACUGAUGCUAACAAUGUCAUAGCCGACACUAAGGAUUUUAUUGCAAAGAGCAAGGCUCUGGUUCAGGGCGACAGUUCAUCACAACACUGCGCAAUAAGGACUAUCCGCCCAUAGCUCCCUCCACCUCUAACCCUAUAUGAGCCUCGAGCUACCACGACCAGGAUUUGCAUGAGUAUCGAUGUGACUCGAAGGAUCACAAAUGACCUAGUUUGAUCAAUUCUCGUAGGACAGGCCGCACGCAAGGGAGAAUCGCACAUGCCCAACGAGAACUUAGAGGAGAAGGAUCCCGAUGAGGACCUACCUACCUCACCAGCGAGCAGCCAUGCCCCGACCUAGGGAUCUGACAUUUGACCUCUUUAGAUCAGUUUAUAUGUAUUUAGUAGGAUGAUAUCUAUGUAUUUAGGAAACGAUAACUCGUUUUGAUGCUUUUAUAGGACUACUAUGUUAGAUUAUUUUCUUAUGAUUGGUAUUAGUACGAAAACACUAAUCCAUAGGAAUUUUCGUAACUAAGUACUUUUUGUGAUGUCUUUGUUAGUCAGCCUCUACAUCAUGCAUAGUAAUUGGAUAGAUCAAUAGAUCUAGAUUCAAAUAUCUGAUGCAAAAGCCCUCGUCGAGAUAAUUUUCCGAUAUUUAUAUAGCGACAUUAUCGAUCUUUUUGCAGCAAGUCAUUUACAUUAUGUUUUAUUCAUGUACAUUGUAUAAGAAAGAGUAUGGACGAGAUUUGAGGAAAUCAAGAAGCAAUUAUAGUAAAGGAACAUCAUCAGCUUCUAUAAUUGUCUCUUGAUUUCCUCAAAUCUCAUUCAUACUCUUUCUUAUACAAAUCACAUUAAUAAAACAUAAUUAAAGUGACUUGGCGCAAAAGAUUGAUAAGGUCGCUAUAUAUAUAAGAAAAUUGCCUCAACGAGUGCUUUUACAUCAGAUUUUUGAAUCUAGAUCUACAGAUCUAUCCAAGUACUUCACAUAAUGUACAUGCUGAUUAGCAAAGUCAUCACAAAAAGUACUUAGCCACAUAACGCCUUGUGGACUAGCGUUUCUGCACUAAUACUAGUCAUAAGAAAAUAAUCUAAUAUAGUGGUCGUACAAAAAAAUUGGAAGGAGUCAUCAUUUCCGGAAUACAUAGAUAUCAUCCUCCUACUAAAUACAUAUAAAUUGAUAUAAAGAGGUCAAAUGUCAGAUCAUUUGGUCGGGAAUGGCUGCUCGCUGGUGAGGUAGGUAGGUCUCCUCGGGAUCCUUUUCUUGUGAGUCAUCGCUGGGAAGUGCGACUCCCCCUCACCUGCAGCAUGUCCUAUGAGAACUGAUCUGACAAGGUCAUCUGCGAUCCCUCAAGUCACAUUGGUACUAGUGUGAAUCCUAAUCGUGGUGGCUCGAGGCUUAUACUGGGCUGGAAGUGGCGAGAGCUCUAGGUAGAUAGUCUCUACUGCGUCAUGAUGUGCUAAAUCAUCGCCCUGAACUGGAGCCUUGCCAUUGGCAAUAAAAUCCAUAGUGUCGGUUAUGGCCUUGUCAACGUCAGCCACAGUAGCUGCAAACACCGUAUCAGUCAAAUGUGUCUGCGAUGACUGGUAAGUAGGAUACUAAGAGAUAUUGUGUCCAUAGGGAAAUGACACUCUCUACGGGCCCGGGGCCUGCCUCAUCAUCAUGGGUCCCACUAUGCCCUAGAAUGGGGUCAUCGAGUAAGGGCCCUGCAGUGGAAUCACCUGCAAAUCUGGGCCAACUGCCUGUAGGGCCAGCUCCAGUGGUGCGUCUUGUGAUCCGGCACUCACGGGCACUCCAACCUAUAUAUGCUCCUAUGAGAAUAUAUGGUCCUCGAGGGGCAUUGCCCCUAAGAAUGAAGCAAGUCUGGAUCUUCGAAACUAAUCAAGAAAGGUCUCUAGUUGGGUCAAAGUAUUCGCUUGAGCAAAAAAGAAAACGAGUGGAAAUUUGUGUUGCGCAACCCUGCUAGUUCGAUGGCAAUAACUGAAUUAGAUGUAUGAUCCCAUUGUAACUUGAUACCAAAUGAGCGCUCGCAGCAACCCAAUCACCUGAAAAGUCAACAGUUUUACUGACUUACUCGUUAUGUCAAAAGUUAUUAACUGGUGUGUUUUCCUUUUACGCUAAUACAUAAUCACCUGGGAUCUACAAAAAUUGCAUAAUAGUGAUAGUAAUCAUUUAUUUUUCUCAAUAAUUUACUAUAAUCAACAAUUGCGGCUUUUCCUUUUGAUCCAUCCUUUUCAUUAUAUAUAUAUGAACAAAUUAAGAGAGCUUCAACUAGUUUAAUACUUUCUCAAUCCUAUUCGAAAUGUUUCAUUUUUUGAUUUAGGUCAUCUAAAUAUCUAUUUUGAGACUCCCAACACACAUUAGUCAACCUCAAUAUAUAUAAUUCAUAAAUUACAUAUAUACCACAAAACAAUCACUGAUAUCUAUAUUCUCUCUCUUACUUGGUUUGAUAAAAUACACCAAAAAAUCUACUUUUUUUCAAUUUUAUUAUAAAUAUAUCUAAAAAAAUGAGACAUGCACUUCGAGUGGAACGAGAAUAUAUAAUUGAGAUAUAUAUAUAUAAUAAAAAUUUAUAUUGUAAAUUUCUACACAUAAAUAAAUCUCUACUCUCGGUUGCACGAUAACUAAUUUGUUUUUAGAUAUAAUUAAGAAGCUCUUGAUAUAUUGUUUGCUUGUAUAAAGCAUACAGAAAUUGAGUGGAGAGAGUUAUAUUGGAUAGUAGAGGCCCCACGACGAGAAGUGAGAAUCACCAGUUGUUUUAAUCGGCUUAGAUAGAGCAGCACAUGUGGCACAAACUAAUUGGAACCACCUUCAUUCGGAUAGGAUAACGGAUCACAUUUGCAUCAAACAUGUAUCACAACGCACUAUAUUUUUAACUAAGCACACAUACACACACACACACACACACACUCACUCUUCUGAGAAAAAGAAAAAGAAAUAUAGUUAAUUUGCAAUGGCAUCGUCUAUGACCAUGACCGCCUCGUUCUUGGGUGGUGCCGCCGCUGCUAAGCAGGUCCCGGCCAGCAACCGCCGCGGUUCGUUGGUGGUUAGAGCCUCAAAGAUGGUGGAAGACGCGAGCAAGGAGGAGAGCAACAAUACGAGAAGGGGCCUGAUGUUGGCGGUGGCCGCCGCCGCAGCAUCCACCGUCGCAAAAGUUGCCAUGGCCGACGAGCCCAAGCGCGGAACUCCAGAUGCUAAAAAGAAGUAUGCACCUGUAUGCGUCACAAUGCCUACCGCUCGUAUUUGUCGCUAUUGAUUAAUCAUCCAUGUUAAUAAACCAUCCAAUUUAUGCUUUUUUUCAUCAAUCAAUGCUUAAUUUCGGAGAAAUGAUGUAAAAUCGUAUUCUUGUUGCUAAAUUAUCGUAUUUAGUUAUGAUGGUUAUUUAUUUAUUUAUUAAUGUUAGUGGUGACAUUUAGGUGGAAUUAAGCACUCCAGUAGUAUUAAAGACGAUCAAAUGAAACUCAGUUUGGGGUAUAUUUUUAAAAAAUUAGGCCAUAGGUCCAAUAGAGGUUAAAGCACAUAUGUCAAAAAAUAAAGGGUAACUGGUGUAUAAAUACAUGAACUCUACUCAUUUUUUUCGUAUUUAACAUAAACUUCAAAUUCUAGUUAUAAAUACAUGAACUUUACUCAUUUUUAGUAUUUAACAUGAAUAUUAAAACAUAGUUAUAAAUACAUGAAUUUUAAACUUAUUCAAUUUUUGACUCGUUUUUCAUUUUUCUCAAAUUAAAGUUGACUUCGAAUACCUGAAUCUUGACGUGGACAAUUCGUCGUUGAGAUACAACGACAUCAUUUUUUGGUAGAGGAAAAUAAUUCAAAACUAAAAUAUGAAAGUGAACGAUAAAAA
Molecule: long non-coding RNA, 44519 nt
Filed under: Salvia miltiorrhiza (redroot sage)
Lineage: Eukaryota; Viridiplantae; Streptophyta; Magnoliopsida; Lamiales; Lamiaceae
Description: long non-coding RNA (SMIL_LNC001584)
Source: RNAcentral